This 50151-nucleotide long non-coding RNA is filed under the name Populus tremula. RNAcentral describes it as "long non-coding RNA (PTRE_LNC001175)". The record is from RNAcentral. Lineage: Eukaryota; Viridiplantae; Streptophyta; Magnoliopsida; Malpighiales; Salicaceae.
AUAUGUUAUCGAAAUGGAAAGGCAAAUAAAAGUUGAGUGCUACUAGAAUUCAAUACCUCACCUUCUGAACUGAAACUCGACUUCUUCACCGACGACGACUAAUUAAAUAAUUACAGCUGCUUACUUCUACAUUACAGAUCAACCAACGAGAUCCAGAACACAGUGAUUUCCCAUUAAGAUCGGAUAUCAAACAAUUGCUGGGGAAGCAUUUUCUUCCUUCUUCCCAUUUAUCAAAGAUAGCCGAAACGAAAAAUAAUUCAAAGGACUUCAAAGUCAAAGAGGCCCAAAAAGAAAGGAAGGGUGUUAGCUGUAAGGAAGAGGUGGGAAGAAGAUCAUGAGGAAAGCUACAAGCUCCUCUAUUCGUAAGGAUGAGAUUGUUCAAGCAUGUGAAUAAGAAGAUACUUUCCCAUGUCUUUUCUGGUUGGAGAAGAAGACUCGUUGACUUGAGUUGGGUCUCCUCAACUUCUUCUAUUACUCAUUUGCCAUUUUGCCCAUGGGUAGCGGUUUAAAAUUGCUUUCUAAACGGUUUUUUUAAUUAAAAAAUAUUUAAAAUUAAAAUUUUUAUAUUUUAAAAUAUAUUGAUAUUAAAAUUAACUUUUAAAAAAUAAAAAUAUUUAUUUUAAUAUUUUUUUUAAUUAAAACAAAUAUUUUAAAAAAUAACUACUAACACCCUCCUAAACUUUUUCCCAGUAGAGGUACUUAAAAUUAAAAAUCUAAUGAUAAAAUCCUUUAAUUAUUAAAAUCAUAAAUCAAUAAUUACAUAUAUAUAAUUAUAUAUAUAUAUAUAAUUAACAUAUUUUAUCUAAAUCUCAAAUUGGUCUUUUUUUUUCUAUCAUAAUGAAAUAUAUAAAUUAAUAAAUUUAUAAAUGUUAACUAUACUUUUUAGUUUAAUUUUUAUAAUAAAACGAUUUUACUCUUAAUAACCUAGAAAUGUGAAACAAAUACAUAAUUAACUAAAAUUAUGAUAUUUCAUUUAAAUUAACUCAAAUAUUUUAAGCAAAUUGCACAUAAGGUAGAAGUUUAAUGUUAUAUAUUCUGCCUUUUAUUAAAUAACUUAACUAAAAAUUAAAGAUAUAAUUAAUUGAUAUAAUUACACUUAUAAAAGACUUAUUAGAAAUAAUCUUUAAGAUAUAAGGAAAUAUGAGGUACUUAUCAUGAGUAAGUGAUAUUUUUUAUACUUAUAAUGAGUAAGUGAUAUUUUUUAUAUCAAAAUACAUUGUGAAGGUCGUGUGACUUCUUUGUUAAUUUGAAUGGAAAAAAUAAACAGAACAUGUUAGAAAAAAUAAUUUAUCUUGGAAUUAAAUUAUAUCAUUAGAGAUAUAAAGAGAAAUUAAAAACACAUUCUCUUAUACAAGGAUUCAUUAAUUAAACCAUUUCUCCUUAAAAACCUCCGACCUCAAAGUCUCCAUUGUCAUUCCUAUUUGGUUUUCUAGAUUUUAUAAUGAAGAGAAGGAUGGGGAAAGGAAGAAGAUCAUGUCUGUGUUUCCUUCCCAAAUUAAUUACAGGUUUUUAGAAUUUAUGUCGGUUUAUGUAAACAAAUGUCUUUAUUAUAUUAUAACAAGGAAAUGUCUUAUGAGGUAAAUCUUGUCAGGUUGUUCUUGUUUGGUAUUGGUGGAUUUGGAGGAGGAGGAAUAUUUUAGCUUUUAGAGAGUAGUAUUUAGAGGAUAAUCGGUUGUUACGUCAAAUUUAUUUUUUAAAAAAUGUGUGUUGCGAUGCUUGGAAUAAUUGAACUAUGGUAUAUAGGCACCCCCCACAACCAUCUCAUGGCUUAAGCCAGAAGAAGGAUUUAUUAAACUGGAUAUGGAUGACAACUCUCUUUGGAACCCGAGGAGGAUUGGAUUUGGGGUCUCUUAAGAAAUUCUGAAGGGAGAUGGUUGAUGAGUUUUACGAGUUAUUGCGGUUUUAGUUCUAAUCUAUUUUUAGAAUUACUAGGAAUUAAAUAUCAUUUAUUGGUAAUAUGAGAUAGAGAUUUCAGAAAGAUCAUAUACAACUCUAAUUCUAUAGAUGUUAUUCAAUUAAUUUAUAAUGAUUUUAACAAGUAUCAUUUAUUCAGAGUAGUUAUUUUUUACAUCAAAGAACUCCUGACAUGAAAUUGAAAAGUUCGUUUGUUUCAUACUUUAUGCGAAGCUAAUUCAUGUGCUAAUUCAUCAUAUUCAUUAACUACAAACAAUUAAAUUCAGAUUAAGUAGAUAUAAUUUAUACAUAUAUAUAAAAAUAACAACUUAACUGUCUAUUAUUUUUUCUCUCUCGCCUAAUUUAACUAGCAUUACAAGCUAUGAGUAAGCCAACUUUACCGAAUAUUUGAAUCUUAAAGAAACUUGAGUCAUGUAUAUCAAGAAAUCUGAUGCCUAGUCUUAAUAAGUACACAGCUCAUUUUAUUAUCAAUUUUGGCUUGGGAGCUGCUUGACUAAUAUUUUUGAGCUUGUUUACGUGCUGACUCAGAAUUUCUGACUAUAAAUAAAUUUUGCUCAAUUUCUAAAAGAUUUAUUUGUAUGAAUCCCCUUAUUGGCGCAUUCAACAUUUUGAUUUAUUAGAGAAAUGAAAGUUGGAGCUUUUUAAAUUCACUACGCCAUUAGUUAAAUCUCUUAAUAGGAGGGGUGAGUAUUUUCAUACAGAUUGAUUUUGGUUUGGUUUGCUUCGUGUUGCUAAAAAAUCAGCAAAUUUGAAAAAUUGACUUAUCAGACAUCAUCAAGAACAGCAGAAACUAGUUCUUUGCAUCUAAAUCAAUGAACCUUUUGUAAACAUCAAGCAAAUGGAAGGUCUCGUAUCAAUGUUUGAAUGAAUUUUUAAAAAUAGCACUCACUACUAGAUAGAUACUUCACCGGAAUUUGUUGCGGGCUAAUUUUUUUUAUUUAAUAAAAUUUUUUAUAUAUACAAGUCUUUUUGAUGUAUUUUUGUAAUUAAAAAAUUUCUAAGUUAAAAUUCAAAAAGCUUAUAUCUACAUGAAAUAAACAAAUCAAGAACUAUCUAAGUUAAUAAAUGAAAAAAAUUAUAAAUGAUAACUAGAAACAGAUAUAAAUUAAGAUAUUUAAUCUUGUAAGAUGAGAUAUUUAUCCAGAUAUAUUUGUUAAAUUUAUUUAUUUAUUUAAUCAAAUGAUAAUAGAAAUAGAAACACAUAGUAAAUUGACUGAAUAAAAUAAAAAAAAUAUUAUACAAGACUAAACAUAUUAUAAAUAUUAUAUAAAAAUAAAUACUUUUUAUUUAAAAAAUAAAUUUCAUUCAUACAGAAAAUAAAAUUAUAGAUGAAUCUAUACUUAUUGAUUUAUAUACCUGUUUGCAUGUUCUCAUCACUGAUGGUUGGUGACAUUUCUUGCUUUUUUUGAGAUAUUUUUAGCUUGGUUUUCUUUGAUGAUUAUGAAAUUUAUGAUUGAAUGAUGCUACAAAAUUCCUAGAGAAUAGAAUUAUAUGACAGCAUAUUUUUUCCUGACUCAAAGCCUCUCAUAAAGUGGGUGUGGACCUAUUCUCUCAAUUAAUUCUUCAAAAUUCCCUGCAAUCUUUCCUUACAAUUGUUCUGCACAUAUAUUUUAGAAGUUUUAUUAAGGAAUUUUAUCUCCCAGUUUCUUUCUUUGUUUGUUUUCUUUCGAACUUGCUGAGAUGUUUUGUUCUUAUAUAUAGCAUCUCCAAUUGCUGGUUUUGCUGUUGUUAAGCUGGAGGAAAUUACUGGUUAUGUAAGCAUAGGCUACCCUUUUGGCUUAACUGCUUCAAUUCUGUUUGCGCGACACUCUGAAAUGGAAGGACCUAAUUAUGAUGCUCAGAUGGUGGAUUUAAUUCUGGGUUUCCUUGCUUCUUUGAAGGGAUCAACAGCCUAACCAACCAAAACAUUUGCACCACUAACUUGUAGAAUCAGCUGAGACAUAACCAAGUCAAAGUAAGGUAUUGAGAAUUGAACAAUCAUAAGGAAAAUCGUAUGGAUAGAUGAUCCUGUGUAUCGAUCUGCAAUGCUUAAACAUGAAUGGAGAACAUCAUGUUUAGAUCCAAUCCCCUUUUGCCUUCACGUUGACAUUGGUUAACUUUCAUUUUGCUUACAUUUUGAUCUUCAGGAUUGGCGCAUUUAGGUUUGAUUCCAGAAGAAGAAUUUGGGAUAUAGCAUUGAUCAAGGAAAAGUGAGGAUACCGAAACAGUUGGUUAUCAUCACGAACAAGUUUUCACACUUUAGUAUGUCAUCCACGCUAUGUAUACUGUGGAAAACUUACGUAGUUUUUAUUUUUAUUUUUUGCUUUUCUGGAAUGAGUGUAUGUAUCAACUUUCCGAGAUAUCUCCUGUCUGAUUGUUAGGGUUUAGGAAGUAAGUUUUUCCAGGCAUCAUUGUUUGGUUUAGUCAUGUGAAACGUUGGUGCUAUUAGUUAAAUGCGUCAGCAUGUAUUUGGACUACAGAAAUGAAAGUUCAGGUGAAUAAGUUCAAGCUAUCUCAUUUCACACCAAAGCUUAAAGCAUCAUAAUCUAAUAUCUACUUGCUGGAGAUUGAAUGGCAAUGUUCUUUUCAAAAGCAACAUUGCGAAGGAACAAAGAAGGGGAAUUAUCAGUAUAUAUACCAGUAAUGUCAGAUAGGACUUUUGGUGAAAGUGGGGGAAUUUAGAUUUGAAUAAUGAUUUAUACAUUCAAGUUCUUGAAUUGCAAUGGAUUCAUUCAAGAUCUGCUGGAAGGAUUUGAGAGGAAACGGCGAAGCAGAGCUGCCAUGCUCUACCAUUAGAUUUGUACAUGUCAACAUCUUGCUGCAAAUUGUGCUGACAAAAAAAAAUGGUAAAAACGCCACAGUGUUGCUGGAUAGCAGUACAAAUGCAUUUAUAAUGUUAAGAUGGCACUUGAAGAAAAUUAUUGGUAGCAAAUUGUGCAUACAGUGGGCAUGGGGUGAAAAACCUUCCAUAGCAUCAUCCUCUUGGUCCUAACAAUUGUUUUGUUCCUGAAAUAACUUGUGAUUCAGGUGUACCUGCUACAGAAACAUUUUCUACAGUAAUUCAAGGCCAUUGCCGGAGCUGGCCUUCUGCUUGCUCUGAUCAAAUUUACAGAUUCAAAGUUCAUUGUGUGGUUUGCAGCUUUGUCCUUCAGUCCUGAUGGCAAGUUUACAGUGAUCUUUACUGGUUGAUUUUCCAAGACAACCUGGUAUAAUAUGCAAUUUCUUUGGGCCAAAUUUCACCUGCAGAAAAAUAUCACUUUUCCUUCUACACUGAUCAGAAAAGAUAGGUGGUAAAAUGUUUUUAAUUGGAUUUGGGAUGAUGAUACUAAAAGUAAUUUUUUAAAAAUAAAUAAAUAUUAUUUUUAUAUAUUUUUUUAAAAAAUAUAUUUUAAAAAACAAUAAUUCCUAUAUUUUCAAAUAUUAUUCUUGUCAAUGAAUAAUAUCAUGAAUGUUGUCUUAUUCAUUUAUUUUAUUUUUUUAUCUCAUUUGCUUUUAGAAAAUAAUUAAAGCUCUUGUUAUAAAUGGAUUAUAUCUCUCUUACAUAUAGAUUAAAUUAACUAAAAUUUAACCAUCAUUUGUUGAUGUUGUCUCAUUCAAAUCUACCUGGCCUAAAUAUUCCAAACAAGCCCAUUAAAUAUAUUUUUGAGCUUCUUUCCUCUUGAUUUUGUAAUUAACCCAACUGAAACUUCUAAUGGAUAGUUUAGUAUAGUUUAAAUUGUAUUAUAUUUAACCUCACAACAUGAACCAUAUAUCAAAUAUGUUUAAUAGCUUUGUUUAUUAGAAUUAAUGUUUUAGUUAAUAAAAUAAUAAAAAAUAUGCAUAGAAAAGCGAUCAAAUAAAAUUAAAGAAAAAAAAAUUAUAAAUAGGACUACAUAUAAAUAAUGCCUUCUAAUAUAAAUAAAUUAAAAUCUUAUUUUUAAAUUAAGUAAAAGUUAAAAUAUUAUAUUACAAAAGCAUCAUAAAAUAUUUUUAAAAAAAACCAAUAAAAAUCCAAAAUAAAAAAAUAAUUUUUUUUUUUAAAAAACUUAAGGUAGACCAACACAUGAUGAAUAAUAUUUUAUUUAAAAUCAAAUUGGAUCUAAGAUUAAGCAUAAACAAGUGGAUCGUUUAAUUGUAAGAACAAUUAAAAGUCAUGUUUUGAUACUAAAUUUGAUGCUAGACAAUAAAUAAUAAAAAUUAAAACAAGAAAAAAAAAACUUCAGAGAAGAAGAAAGCUAAAGAAGAGAAGAAAGGGGAUUAGAGAUAUGUAAAGUCUGUAAUAUUUUUAUUAAUCAUCAAAAUUGUCUUACAAAAUGACAAAGAAACAUAUAAAUAAUAAAAUUUUAAAACAUCUUUUUAUUAGGCUCAGCCCAUCAAAUCAAACUGUUUAACAUAAAUAAUUUUAAAUAAAUAAAAUAACAAUGAAAUAGGUCCAAAUGGGUUUAGUCUCCCAACCAAAGCGUAAGAGGUUGGGUUAUCCUACGUCGUCUCCGUUCAUAUACUCGUGUAAUUUACAGUGUGAGUCUAGUCCCCACCAAUUAUUUAAAUACAUUUAUUUAAUAUUAGAUUGUGUUAAGGAAAUAAAAAUUAAAUAUUUGAAUGAAAAUAAUUGAUAUCGGUUAGAUAAGUGUUAUUUUAUAUGACAAUAUUUCUAUGCAUUUACAAUAAAAUUUAUAACAAAAAUGUAAAAGCAGAAUUUAUGGAGAGCUUCCUGCUAAAUAAAAAAAAAUGGUGGAAGGUCAUGCAUCUUCGUCACUUACGAAGGCACAAAGAAACAACAAACUACAUUGACAGUUUUAAUGAAAUAGCAUCUUUUAUUGUUCAGAAAAAAAGAGAGAGAAAAGUGAUCUGAAAUGCAAAAAUAGAACCAAAGAUAACAAGUAUGAAGCUAACCAUUCACCCCAACAAUCAUAACCCAAAAAUAAGAAAAAAGCCAACAACUGCAAUCCAAUUACCAUAAUGACUCCAAGCAUUCCCAUCUUUUCCUGUGGACGAUAAAACUGCAGUUAGGAUCAUUACAUUCAAGGGCCAAGUCAUCGCAAGGGUCACCACAAGCAUCGCAUGCCUGUGGACGAUAAUCCUCUUUCUUGACGACCAAAGCAAGAGGGUGAGGGUGAUUAGGAUAUGUGCGAACCCCCCCUGGCUUGAAAUAUGGGUAUUUCCCGAGAGCACAUUCUGGAUGAGCAUCGAAGUCGCAUUCCUCACAACGGUAGAACCAAAGCUUCGGGUCUCUAUCUUUUUCACAAAUUAUGCAGGAAGGCUGGUAGUCAUUUUGAUUAAUGUAGGUGAGGAAGAGAGGAUGGUCAUCAUACUCGUGUCUUGCUUUGUAUGGCAGUGUAGCACAUUUCAUACCCAGCUUGAAAUCGCAAACCGCACAUUUAAAAAAUACCUCUGAUUCUUCACUGACACAACAGCCACUGCAAUGCGGAAUAAUCUCUCUGUCAUCUGCAAGCAAAGAGGAAAUACAGCAACGGAGAAUAUUCUUUCUGUCCGCUGGAAGAUAAAGGGGAUGCUCAUGACCUCCAUGUUUAAAAGAAUCUUUCAAUAUUGAUUUGAAGCAUCGGACAUCAACGAAGAGUCCACAUACAUCACAUGUGUACCUGAGCCCACGAAAACGUUGAUUGCACACACGACACAUACACAGAUCAUGUUGCCCUCGGACCCAUGAAAGAAUCAGUUGGUUUUCGUGAUAUUGCCACUUUUUUCGCCUGGGUAAUUCUAUGCUGCAGGUUUUGUCAAGAAAGAAAUUACAACUGGCACAACUAUAAAAUGGAGUUGAGAUUGGUAACAUGCACCCAUCACACUUUAGAUCAUCAUCAACCUUGUCAGUAAGGAUUAGGUUAUGUUGAUGACUGAAAUGCUCGAUCUCUUCAAUUAUUCUCUCCUCUCCAUGCUUGAUCUCACGGACAACGCGAAAGCUAGGUUCCAUGAAUUGAUCAUCAACAGUCACACUUUGCUCUUCUUGCAGUCUCUGUUGCAUAAUCGCCAUAUUCUCUGCUACAAUUCACGUGUGCAACAAAGUCACAGUCUGGGCAAUAGUAAACUCCGUAUUCUGUGUCAACUUCCCGACGGCAAAUUCCACAGUACUUGUUUAUAGAUUCGAUGCAUUGUUGAGGAUGAUAGGUGUGGAUGAUUCGGGGAUGAUGGUGCAGUGCCGUUUUAAGGGUGCCUGGCAAUGAAAUGCAUUCUUCGUGGACCAAGAGUUGGCACAUGGUGCACACUAAUGGAGAGUCAUCUCCAUCAGUGCCGCAUGCAUUGCAAGUGAAGGAGAUUGAUUUUAGUGAAGGUGAAUUCAGUAGGCGUCUAAAUUGAUGCCCCUGAUCCUGAUCAGCUGCAUAAACGCACGGUGGAAAAGCACAUUUGAUAUGGAGGUUGAAUUCGCACACAAAACAGCAGUAAACAAAACUCUCAUAGCAAGUUUCGUUGCAAAAAUCCACAGAUCAUGAUGAUUUGGCAGUAGACGAAGAGGGUGUUCUGGAUGAAUGUGCCUCUUGAUCUCUGGGGGUAGCUCAGCACACUUCUUGUGAAGAAAGAGUUGCAAGAAGUGCAACUAUAGCUAGGACCAGACAUUGGUUCCUUGCACACAAGCACACAACUCCUUCACCAUGAUAUUCUUGCUCUUCAUUCAAAAUCAAUGGAUGAUCCUUGUGGGCAAAUUGAUGUGCCUGACUAUCAACUUCCAAAAAACCCGGUUGAAAAGCACAUUUGAUAUCAAGAUCAAACUUACAGAAAGAACAAUGGUAAACAAAACAGUUGAAAGUUUUGCGCACCGAUCACAACGGUAUUUCCUUUAUAUGGUGACUUUGCAGUAGAUGGAGAGGGUGUCUACGAUGAAUGCGCCGCUUGAUCUCACGGGGCAGCUCGGCGCAUUUCUUAUGAAGAAAGAAGUAGCAAGAGGUGCAACUGUAGCAAGGACCCCAUAUUGGUCCCUCGCAUCCAGAGCAAAUAACUAGUUCACAACUAUAUUCGAGAACUUGAUUAAUGAGGAUCAAUGGAUGAUCUGGGUGGCUAAAAUGUUCAACCUCCAUGUCUCUGGCUCUCUCAGAGGACAGAGCAGGAAAUGAGGGGUGUUGAGCCAAGGCAAGACUUAGGGAUGCCAAAUUGAAGCUGCCGAAUAUAUAUAUGUUAUCGAAAUGGAAAGGCAAAUAAAAGUUGAGUGCUACUAGAAUUCAAUACCUCACCAUCUGAACUGAAACUUGACCUCUUCACCGACGACGGCUAAUUAAAUAAUUACAGCUGCUUACUGCUAAAUUACAGAUCAACCAACGAGAUCCAGAACACAGUGAUUUCCCAUUAAGAUCGGAUACCAAUCAAUUGCUGGGGAAGCAUUUUCUUCCUUCUUCCCAUUUAUCAAAGAUAGCCGAAACGAAAAAUAAUUCAAAGGACUGAAAAUUCAAAGAGGCCCAAAAAGAAAGGAAGGGUGUUAGCUGUAAGGAAGAGGUGGGAAGAAGAUCAUGAAGAAAGCUACAAGCUCCUCUAUUCGUAAGGAUGAGAUUGUUCAAGCAUGUGAAUAAGAAGACAGUUUCCCAUGUCUUUUCUGGUUGGAUAAGAAGACUCGUUGACUUGAGUUGGGUCUCCUCAACUUCUUAUAUUACUCAUUUGCCCAUGGAUAGCGGUUUAAAAUUGCUUUCUAAACGGUAUUUUUAAUAAAAAUAUAUAUUUAAAAUUAAGUUUUUUAUAUUUUUAAAUAUGUUGAUAUUAAAAAUAUUUUUUAAAAAAUAAAAAUAUUUAUUUUAAUACUUUUUUCAAAUAAAACAAAUAUUUUAAAAAAUAACUACUAACACCCUCCUAAUCUUUUUCCAAGUAGAGGUAAUUAAACUUAAAAAUCUAAUGAUAAAAUCCUUUAAUUAUUAAAAUCAUAAAUCAAUAAUUACAUGUAUAUAUAAUUAACAUAUUUUAGCUAAAUCUCAAAUAGGUCUUUUUUUCUAUCAUAACGAACUAUAUAAAUUAAUAAAUUUAUAAAUGUUAAACUAUACUUUAUAGUUUAAUUUUUAUAAUAAACGAUUUUACUCUUAAUAACCUAGAAAUGUGAAACAAAUACAUAAUUAACUAAAAUUAUGAUAUUUCAUUUAAAUUAACUAAAAUAUUUUAAGCAAAUUGCACAUAACGUAGAAGUUUAAUGUUAUAUAUUCUGCCUUUUAUUGAAUAACUUAACUAAAAAUUAAAGAUAUAAUUAAUUGAUAUAAUUACACUUAUAAAAGACUUAUUAGAAAUAAUCUUUACGAUAUAAGGAAAUAUGAGGUACUUAUCAUGAGUAAGUGAUAUUUUUUAUAUCAAAAUAAAUUUGUGAAGGUCGUGUGACUUCUUUGUUAAUUUGAAUGGAAAAAAUAAAGAGAACAUGUUAGAAAAAAUCAUUUAUCUUGGAAUUAAAUUAUAUAAUUAGAGAUAUAAAGAGAAAUUAAAAACACAUUCUCUUAUACAAGGAUUCAUUAAUUAAACCAUUUCUCCUUAAAAAACCUCCACCUCAAAGUCUCCAUUGUCAUUCCUAUUUGGUUUUCUAGAUUUUACAAUGAAGAGAGGGAUGGGGAAAGGAAGAAGAUCAUGUGUGUGUUUCCUUCCCAAAUUAAUUACAGAUUUUUAGAAUCUAUGUCGUUUUAUGUAAACAAAUGUCUUUAUUAUAUUAUAACAAGGAAAUGCCUGUAAAUCUUGUCCGUUAUCUAGGUAGAUUUGAAGGAAGAGAAAUAUUUUAGUUUUUAGGGAGGAGUAUUUAGGGGAUAAGCGGUUGUUACGUCAAAUUUACUUUUUAAAAGAUGUGUUUUGCGAUACUUGGAAUAAUUCAACUAUGAUGCGUAGAUAUCCAACUACUAUCUUAUGACUUAAGCCUGAAGAAGGAUUUAUUAAACUAGACGUGGAUGAAAGCUCUCUUAGGAACCCGGGGAGGAUUGGAUUUGGGGUCUCUUAAGAAAUUCUGAAGGGAGAUGGUUGAUGAGUUUUACGAGUUAUUGAGAUUUUGAUUCUAAUCUACUUCCAAAACUACUAGGAAUUAAAUAUUAUUUAUUGGUGAUAUGAGAUAGAGGUUUUAGAAAGGUCAUAUGGAACUCUGAUUUUACAGAUGUUAUUCAACUGAUUUAUAAUAAUUUUAACAAGUAUUAUUUAUUUAGAGCUGUUAUUUUUUAUAUUAAAGAAUUCAUGAUACGAAAUUGGAAAGUUCGUUUGUUUCAUACUUUGGGCGAGGCUCAUUCAUGUGCUUAUUAUAGGGCUAAACUUGCAGCUACAAUUAAAUUCAGAUUAACUAGAUAUAAUUUAUACAUAUACAUAAAAAUAACAACUUAACUAUCUUUUUUUUUUUCUUGCGCCUAAUUUAACUAGCAUUACAAGCUAUGAGAAGGCCAACUUUACCAAACAUUUGAAUCUUAAAGAAACUUGAGCCAUGUCUUGAUAAGUACGCAGCUCAUUUUAUUAUCAAUUUUGGCUUGGAAGCUGCUUGACCAAUAUUUUUGAGCUUGUUUACGUGCUGACUCAGAAUUUCUGACCUAAUUGCGUGCCGAAUAAUAUCAGUCCCUCACAUCCUGAGCAAAUAAUUAGUUCACAACUAUAUUCGAGAACUUGAUUAAUGAGGAUCAAUGGAUGAUCUGGGUGGCUAAAAUGUUCAACCUCCAUGUCUCUGGCCCUCUCAGAAUGCAGAGCAGGAAAUGAGGGGUGUUCAGCCAAGGCAAGACUUAGUGAUUAAACUUAAAAAGAAAAAAAAUGACAAAACAAUGAUUAAACACGUGGAUUCAGGAGGCCUAGCACGCCUAUCAUCACAUUCUAACAUGUUUGUGUUUCAUUUCUUCUUAUUAUUAUUAUUUGAAUGGGAGGACUUCUUAAAGUAACCAUAUGAUACGUCUUUUGUAGUGGCAGAAAAUACGACACCUAUUUAUUUCACCGCCGAGAAACUCUAGAGGCUAGAAGUUGCUGGAAAAUCGCUCCCCUCUCUUCGAAAACACCAUUUCAAGCAUUUCUUUCAUUUAUAAGCCACUUAGAAAGUACAACGUAAACAUAACCUCUAAACAAUGUUAAAUCCAUUAAAAAACUCAAAAUUUGUUCUAGUUAAAAAAAAUCCCCAAAGGAUCUACUUUUCCUGGUAAGAUGAGCAGCAAAACAUACAUCAAUGGAAUUUUUAUCUUGAAAUGGAACCCAUUAACAUCAAGAACAACUUUUUUCAAUUGCUAGAACUUGGUUAAUAAUAACUUUUUCUCUCAUUCGUUGUAAUCUAAUAACUUUCACUCUCUUUUCUUAAACUUAAGGAUUAAAAUGUAAAUAAAAUAAAGUCUUGGAUCAAAUAGUAUAAUUUUCAAGCUAAAGGGAUCAAAACUAAUAUUGGAUCAAAUUUAAAGUCUAAAAGUCUUUGACAACCAUUCUUUCUUAAAAUUGAUAUCAUUUCACCAAGCUUUUAAUUUUGAUAGCCUAGAUUUUUGUUUUUCUCUAACAACAAAAUUGAUUUUUUUUUUUUUGUAAAAUAAAGAACCAACCCAACAUGGUGGUAGUUUUUUGAGGUUGUAAUAAACUGGAAGAAAGCAAUAGGAACUAAAUAACUAAGUUAAAUCACCAAUCAAUGCAAUGUAGAAGGAUAAAUUUUAAAAAAAACAAAUCUCGAUUGCCGAACUAAAAAAAGAAAAAAGAAAUCAAGGACUAAGAAGUGAAGAUAUCAUCUUCAGGACUAUCAUUUCACCUAACUUUCAACUUUGAUCCUCUUAUUUUCAAAUACUAUUUUUGUCAAUAAAUACUACCUUGAUAUUGAAAUGUUGUCUUAUUUUUUUAUUUUGUUUUCUACCUUAUUUCUUUUUAGAAAAUAAUUAGGCUCAUGUUAUAAAUGGAUUAGAUUCCUUUUCUAUAUAGAUUAAAUUGAUUAAGGUUCGAUCAUUAUUUGUUGAUGUUGCCUCAUUGAAAUCCAUCUUGACUAAAAUAUUCCAAACAUGUCCAUUAAAUAUAUUUUUGAGCUUCUUUUCUUUUGAUCUUGUAAUUGACCCAACUAGAACUUUUAAUAGAUAAUUUAGUGUAGUUUAAAUUGUAUUAUAUUUAACCUCGCAACAUGAACCAUAUAUCAAAUAUGUUUAAUAGCUUUGUUUAUUAAAAUUAAUAUUUUAUUUAAUAAAAUAAUAAUAAAAAAGAUGUAUAGAAAAGCAAUCAAAUAAAAUUAAAGAAAAAAUAUAUAACUAGGACUACAUACAUAUAAAGGAUGCCUUCUAAUAUAAAAAAAUAUUAAAAUUUUAUUUGUAAAUUAAGUAAAAGUUAAAAUAUUCUAUUAAAUAAACAUCAUAAAAUAUUUAAAAAAACAACCAAUAAAAAUCCAAAAUUUUAAAAAAAUACUCAGACCCUAACAUGGGUGUCCCAACACAUCUAAACUUACAAAAAUUCCAUUUGCGUGGGCUUUUAUCCCAGAUCCGCGCUCGUUGGCUAACUUAUUAUUAUUAUUUUUUUGUUUUUCUGGAAUGAGUGUAUGUAUCAACUUUCCGAGAUAUCUCCUGUCUGAUUGUUAGGGUUUAGGAAGUAAGUUUUUCCAGGCAUCAUUGUUUGGUUUAGUCAUGUGAAACGUUGGUGCUAUUAGUUAAAUGCGUCAGCAUGUAUUUGGACUACAGAAAUGAAAGUUCAGGUGAAUAAGUUCAAGCUAUCUCGUUUCACAUCAAAGCUUAAAGCAUCAUAAUCUAAUAUCUACUUGCUGGAGAUUGAAUGGCAAUGUUCUUUUCAAAAGCAACAUUGCGAAGGAACAAAGAAGGGGAAUUAUCAGUAUAUAUACCAGUAAUGUCAGAUAGGACUUCUGGUGAAAGUGGGGGAAUUUAGAUUUGAAUAAUGAUUUAUACAUUCAAGUUCUUGAAUUGCAACGGAUUCAUUCAAGAUCUGCUGGAAGGAUUUGAGAGGAAACGGCGAAGCGGAGCUGCCAUGCUCGACCGUUAGAUUUGUACAUGUCAACAUCUUGCUGCAAACCUUCCAUAGCAUCCUCUUGGUCCUAACAAUUGUUUUGUUCCUGAAAUAACUUGUGAUUCAGGUAUACCUGCUACAGAAACAUUUUCUACAGUAAUUCAAGGCCAUAGCCGGAGCUGGCCUUCUGCUUGUUCUGAUCAAAUUUACAGAUUCAAAGUUCAUUGUGUGGUUUAUCAAAAUAUGGUUGUAAGAAGCAGCGCUUAAGUUGAACAUAAGGUUAUGGAGAUGGAGUUUGUGAAAUGUUAUGGCUGAUGAGAGUUUUUGAAGAACUAUGAAGUUGUAUUAUGACAAUAAAGCUGCCACAAGAACUCUUAAUACCGAGAAGGCUGGGAAUGUUGCAAGCACGUACAAAAGGUUAGAGAUUUUUAAUUUGAUACUUGCAAAAUUGAAGUAACAACAAUUUAAAUUCGAGACCAGAUUGAUAUAUGAUAUUUUUUAAAAAAUAAGCAAUCUUGUAAAGGGCAUAAUUUUUUUUUUUUUAUCUUAAUUCAACUCAAAUUUUAUUAGAAGAUUUUAAAUGCUUUAUUUUCUAUAAAAUUAGAAUUUUAUAAUCAUUUAAAAUCAACAAGACUUUCAAAUAAAACAAAAAAAACCUAUCUAGACUUGUAAUAUUUUAUUAGUUGAUUUAAUUUUUUUUUUUCUAUUUAGUUUUUUUUUUUUUUUUAAGGAUUUGGGCCUCUAAAUCCCUUCGUGGUUUUGAAAUUAGAUAAACAAUGAUGGAGGCUUAUUCUUAUUCUUCUUAAGAAAAAAAAUACCAAAAACAUGAAUUAACUUACUUCUGCAUGAUAUAUCUUAUUAAAGGACAAAGCUAUCAAAUGACCUUGAGGUCUUUGUUUUAAAUAUUAUUUAAAUAGAUUUAUUUAUUAUUAGAUUGUGUUAAGGAAAUAAAAAUUAAAUAUUCGAAUGAAAAUAAUUGAUAUAAGUUAGAUAAGUGUUAUUUUAUAUGCCAAUAUUUCUAUGCAUUUACAAUAAAAUCUAUAACAAAAAUGUAAAAACAGAAUUUAUGGAGAGCUUCCUGCUAAGCUAAAAAAAAUGGUGGAAGGUCAGACAUCUUUGUCACGACGAAGGCACAAAGAAACAACAAACUACCUUCAAUCUUUUAUUGUUAAAAAAAAAAACAGAGAAAAAAAAAGUGAUCUCAUACGCAUAAAUAGAAACAGAGAUAGUAAUCCUUUGUCUAGCAACUGCCAACAAUCAUAACCCAAAAAUAAGAAAAAAGCCAACAACUGCAAUCCAAUUAUGGCUUCCAUACUGUACGAAAGCAUUGCCGUCUAAACCGGUGUACGAUAAAAUCACAGUUAGGAUCAGUACAUUCAAGGGCCAAGUCAUCGCAAGGCUCCCCACAGAUAUCGCAUGCCUGCGGACGAUAAUCCCCUGUCUUGUCGACCAAAGCAAGAGGGUGAGGGUGUGCAGGAUAUGUGCGAACGCCCCCUGGCUUGACGUAUGGGUAUUUCCCGAGAGCACAUUCUGGAUGAGCAUCGAAGUCGCAUUCCUCACAACGGUAGAACCAGAGCUUCGGGUCUCUAUCUUUUUCACAAAUUAUGCAGGAAGGCUGGUAGUCAUUUUCAUUAUUGUAGGUGAGGAAGAGAGGAUGGUCAUCAUACUCGUGUCUUGCUUUGUAUGGCAGUGUAGCACAUUUCAUACCCAGCUUGAACUCGCAAACCGCACAUUUUAAAAAUACCUUCGAUUCUUCACUGACACAACAGCCACUGCAAUGGGGAAUAAUCUCUCUGUCAUCUACAAGCAAAGGGGGAAGCCCGUAACCUCCAAUACGGCAACGGAGAAUACUCUUUCUGUCCACUGGAAGAUAAAGGGGAUGCUCAUGACCUCCAUGUUUAAAAGAAUCUUUCAAUGAUUUGAAGCAUCGGACAUCAAUCCAGAGUCUACAUACUUUACAUUUGUAACUGAGCCCACGAAAAUAUUGACUACACACAUCACAGGAGACCAGAUCAUGUGGCCCUCGGCUCCAUGAAAGAAUCAGUUCGUUUUGGUGAUAUUGCCACUUUUUUUGCCUGAGUAAUUCUAUGCUGCAGGUUUUGUCAAGAAAGAAGUUACAACUGGCACAACUGUAAAAUGGAGUUGAGAUUGGUAACAUACACCCAUCACACUUUAAAUCAUCAUCAACCUUGUCAUUAAGGAUUAGGUUAUGUUGAUGACUGAAAUGCUCGAUCUCUUCAAUUAUUCUCUCCUCUCCAUGCUUGAUCUCACGGACAACGCUAAAGCUAGGUUCCAUGAAUUGAUCAUCAACAGCCACACUUUGCUCUUCUUCGUUUUCUCCAGCAGUCUCUGUUGCAGAAUCGCCAUAUUCUCUGCUACAAUUCACGUGUGCAACGAAGUCACAGUCUGGGCAAUAGUAAACUCCGUAUUUUGAGUCAACUUCCCGACGGCAAAUUCCACAGUACUUGUUUAUAGAUUCGAUGCAUUGUUGAUGUUGAUAUGUGUGGAUGAUUCGGGGAUGAUGGUGCAGUGCCGUUUUAAGGGUGCGUGGCAAUGAAAUGCAUUCUUCGUGGAGCACGAGUUGGCACAUGGUGCACAUGAAAGGGGAGUCAUCUCCCUCAGUGCCGCAUGCAUUGCAAGUGAAGGAGAUUGAUUUGAAUGAAAGUGGAUUCAGCAGGCUUCUAAAUUGAUGCCCCUGAUCCUGAUCAGCUGCAUAAACGCACGGUGGAAAAGCACAUUUGAUAUGGAGGUUGAAUUCGCACACAAAACAGCAAUAAACAAAACUCUCAUAGCAGGUUUCUUUGCAAAAACCACAGAUCAUGUGAUGAUUUGGCAGUAGACGAAGAGGGUGUUCUGGAUGAAUGUGCCUCUUGAUCUCGGGGGCAGCUCAGCACAUUUCUUGUGAAGAAAGAAGUUGCAAGAAAUGCAACUAUAGCUAGGACCAGACAUUGGUUCCUUGCACACAGAGCACACAACUCCUUCACCAUGAUAUUCUUGCUCUUCAUUCAAAAUCAAUGGAUGAUCCUUGUGGGAAAAUUGAUGUGCCUGACUAUCAACUUCCAAAAAACCCGGUUGAAAAGCACAUUUGAUAUCAAGAUCAAAUUCACAGAAAGAGCAAUGGUAAACAAAAUAGUUAAAAAAUUUGUCGCACCGACUACAACGGUAAUUUCCUUUAUAUGGUGACUUUGCCAGUAGAUGGAGAGGGUGUCUAGGAUGAAUGCGCCGCUUGAUCUCACGGGGCAGCUCGGCGCAUUUCUUAUGAAGAAAGAAGUAGCAAGAGGUGCAACUGUAGCAAGGACCCCAUAUUGGUCCCUCGCAUCCAGAGCAAAUAACUACUUCACAACUAUACUCGAGAACUUGAUUAAUGAGGAUCAAUGGAUGAUCUGGGUGGCUAAAAUGUUCAACCUCCAUGUAUCUCGCUCUCUCAGAGGACAGAGCAGGAAAUGAGGGGUGUUGAGCAAAGGCAAGACCAAGGUAGGCCAAAUCGAAGCUGCCGAAUAUAUAUGUUAACGAAAUGGAAAGGCAAAUAAAAGUUGAGUGCUACUAGUAUUCAAUACCUCACCUUCUGAACGAAAACUUGACCUCUUCACCGACGACGGCUAAUUAAAUAAUUACAGCUGCUUACUGCUAAAUUACAGAUCAACCAACGAGAUCCAGAACAAAGUGAUUUCCCAUUAAGAUCGGAUAGCAGAAUUCAAAGAAGCCCGAAAAGGAAGGAAGGGUGUUAUCUGUAAGGAUGGGAUGGGAUGGGAGGAAGAUCAUGAGGAUAGCUACAGGCUCUUCCAUUUGUGCAGAUGAUAUUAUACAAGCAUGUGAAUAAGAAGACACUUUCCCUUUUCUUUUCUGGUUGGAGUGGAAGACUCGUUGACUUGAGGUGGGUCUCGUCAACUUCUUGUUACUGGAUCAUGUCCAUUGCUUAGUAUUCUAUUGGAUUGGUCCAUUGCUUAGUUAAUGGAUCGUGUCCAUAUAAUAAGUUAUUAAUGAAAUAAAAAAUAGUAUUAGAAACUAUUACUACUUGGAUUUGAAGGUGGAUUGUUAUCAAGCAAACCAAUCAUCGACCUGAAAACAUUGAAGGCGCAUGAGACCUGACGUAUGUGAGAGAUGACAGCAAAUAAAUCGCAAAUACAAUGUUGCGGUUAAAUUAAUUUUUUUAAAAUAAAAAAAAUAUUCAGAUAUUAUUAAUAAACUACUAAAUAAUAGUAGCAUUCCUUUAAAUAUUAGUAAAAAUCUAGGUAAAAUAAAUCCUUCUUUUUAAAAAAUAACUAAAUCUUAACUAUCACCAUAAUAUAUUAUGUAAAUAAACUACUAAAAGAAAAAUCAUGAUUAUAUGAAAGCCAUUGUGAUUUUAGCUCCUGCAUUAUUUUUCUCGAAAUAAAAACAACUCAGAUUUUUAGUUGAAAUCGUUCUUGUCUCGAUCAUAAGGACAUGUCACAGAAGAUCAUUUAUCUUGGAAUUAAAUUAUAUAAUUAGAGGUAUAAAAAAAAUUGAAAACACAUUCUCUUAUAUAUCACAUUUCAUCAUGUUCAUUAACUACAAACAAUUAAAUUCAGAUUAAAUAGAUAUAAUUUAUACAUGUAUAUAAAAAUAACAACUUAACUAUGAAUUAUUUUUUUCUCUCGUCUAAUUUAAACUAUAAAUUCAAAAACUAAUGUUAACCAUUUCUCCUUAAAAAGCCCUCGACCUUAAAGUCUCCAUUGCCAUUCCUAUUUGGUUUUCUAGAUUUUAUAAUGAAGAGAGAGAUUGGGAAAGGAAGGAGAUCACGUGUGUAUUCCCUUUCAGAAUUAAUUACAGGUUUUUCAUAUCACAUUUUUCAUGCUUAUCACCCAUAAAUUAUUAAAUUAAAGUAAAAAUGACAUCAAUUAUAUAUAAUAAAAGUAAAAAUUUAACUAUUUAUUGUUUAAAACAUGUCAAGUCAAAUUUAUAGUAUUAUAAAUCAUAAGGUAAUCAUUGAAUGCAUAUCGAAAAAAAAAAGCAGGAUAAACUAAAAAUAAUAAUUGUUUGUUAAAAAAUAAUGGUUGUCAAAAUUAAAAAAAAGACAACUAUAACCUUAUUCAAACUAAAACUAAAAUUUUAGUGUUAUUUAAAAAAAACACCUUUAACAUAUUUUGUAUUAAUUUAAGAAAUUAAUGAAGAAAUAUAUAUAAUAUAUAUUUAGUUAUCUAAUUCUACAUUAAAUAGACUUAAAAGAAAAAAAAUGGCAAAAAAUGGUUAAGCACAUGAUCCAGGAGGCCCAGCACGUCAGUCAACACAUACUAACAUAUUUCGACUUCAUUUUUUAUUUUUUUAUUAUUUUUAUUUAAAUGGGAGGACUUUUUAAAGUAACCAUCCGAUAUGUUUUUUGUUGUGACAAAUUAAAAACACAUCACCUAUUUGUUUCACCGUCGAGAAACUCUAGAGGCUGGAAGUACCGGAAAAUUGCUCCCCUCUCUUUGAACACAAAACACCAUUUCAAUCAUUUCUUUCAUUUAAAAACACUUAGAAACACCCCGUAAACACAACCUCUAAAUAAUAUUUAAUCGAUUAAAAAACUUAAAAUUUGUUCUGGUUAAAAACAAAUCCCAAAAAAUUCUACUUUUUAUAGUAAAAUGAAGGGCAAAACAUAUAUCAAUAGAAUUCUUAUCUUGAAAUAAUACUAUUUAAGAAUAAUUUUUUUGGUUGUUUUUUAAAAUAUUUUUCACUUAAAUUAAUUAUGUGUAAAAGUUGAAUUGAAAAAAAAAAUAACUGAAAAAUUUAAUGAGAAAAGGAAAGAAACAAUUUGCGAAUCCAAAACAACAAAAAAGAAGGGUUACUGAUAAGUUAAUAUCUUUACAGCAGAAAAUCAAGUUAAAUAGUAUUACAUAAUAAUGUAUUUAAUUUAUUUUUCUGUGUAUGUAUCACACAUUAUGUCACGACUCGAAUCCCGGAUCCGUGACCAGCAACGUAGGAGCGGUGUCGAAAGGACACCUCACCUACGCUAAGCCUCAGAACGGACAUAUCAAAAGAACAAUUUGUUCAAAAAUACGCAGCGGCUCAUAAUAUUCAGAAAUAUUAUAUUAUUUAAAUACUGAUGAAAUCGAAAGAUAGUUAUUAAAACAAAAAUAAUAAUUCAUAAUACAUUUACAUUGUCAAAAUCCAAACGUAAUUAAAACAAGGUAACAGUGGAGCGUCUAAGACAUCAAAUCAAAACUGAAAGGAAAGCCUCGCGAACAAGCAAGGCAUACCGACCAGAACUGAAGAAGCGGAAACACUCAACAAAGUCCCAGAAACUAAAAACCUGAAAUAAUAUUAAAAAUGAGAGGUGAGUUCAACCAACUCAGUGAGGGAAUAACAUUUAAUAUACAUUUCAGAUAUUAAUUAAUUUGUAAGAUGAUUUAUCUUAAUAUACAUAUACAUAUACUUACUAAACAUAUUAUCAUAACGUAACAUAUUAUCAUAACGUAGUGGAUUACAUGUCAGAGAUCAGAUGACACCCGAAGGUGACCAGAUGACACCCGAGGUGACCAGAUGACACCCGUCGGUGACCACUGUGGGAUGAUCAAUCACCACAGGCUGAUGCCUCUCUCACCAGCUAGUAGGUAACAGAAUACUAUGUGCACACAGGCUAACUAUUCUCCGUUAGCAUGGAGUUACUGACAAGUCCCAUAUCAAGGCAUAAUAGAUAUUCACAAUCAUCAAAGAAACGUAUAUCAUAUCAAAUAGAAUUUACUUUAUCAGAUUGCGAGUGCAAAUUCAAGAAUAAAUGAGUACUCGGAAAAUAAAGCAACAUAUAUAAAUAUUCAAGAAAUUUACUAGUUGUACUCAUUGUAUAAUCAACAUACAUAUUUAUUUAUAUUAUAUGCAUAUUAAAGAUUAUUCCACUCACCGGAAAAUACUGAACUAAAGGAAUGUCGGACGAAAGACCCGAAAAUCCGAUUAAGGAUCGUUAGGAGAACCUACAAUAAAUAUAUGAAAUAUACUCAAAAACAGAUCAAACAAAAGAUCCCAAUGCAUAAAAUAAAACUGGGCUUAAUCUCCCAAGUUUAGGGACUAAAACGAUAAUUUUCCAAAACAGGGACCAAAACGUAAUUUUACCAAAUUUUGAGGACCGAACUGUAAAUAUAUAACCAUACUGAAAUUUAUCCAUAAUUCGUCCUUAUCUUUGUCUAGAAUCUUGAAUUAUGCCCCAAGGUCCAAAAUGUGAUUUUAUCAAACUAUUAGGGGUCAAAUCGUAAUUUGUCAAAUUGGAGGACCAAACUGAAAAUAUUAAUUAUACUAGAAUUUUGCCUUUAAAUCAUCCUCAGUUCUGUUCAGAAUCUCAAUUUAUGUCCCAGGGACCAAUCUGUAAAAUUUCCAAAGUUUGGGGACUAAACUGCAAUUUCCGCAAAUUGAGGGACCAAACUGAAUUUUCGUCAUCUUCAACCUCAAACCCAGAAUUUCAACAGAUUACCUACUGUUAGUUCCAGAUUUAUACCUCAACUUCAUCAUUCAAUUCAACCAUAACUCAAAAUCAUCAUAUUUCUCUACAAUCUCUCCAAUUCAACUAAAUAAUCAAAUACCCACAUCAAUCAACCCCUUAAUUCAAACUAAUUCAUCAAUAAACUCAAAAUUCAAAACUCUAAAAUUAAUCAAAAACCAAAAUUUAAAGCUAAAGAAAACAUAUUAUACAUAUUCAAGCAUAAUCUUACCUUUUACUUUUUUCUUCAAUCUUUUCCUUUUCCUUAUUUUCCCCUUUUCUCUUCUUCUUCUUCUUCCUCUCUUCUCUCCUGCCGGUUCUCUCUCAAAUUCAGAUCCUUUUUUUUUUUUUUUUCUUCUUAUACAUAUUUAUCAACUAUUGGUCAAUUACCACACUACCCUUCAAUCAUUUAUACCCUUUUUUAAGCCUCCAAGGACUUUAUUGUAUUUUCCAAUCUUUUUAAGUUUCAAAACGUUACACAUUACUGCUUUGUUUUUGUAGGUUUUGUGUUCGUGCCUCGAGGAGUAGGCAAAACUUGUGAUUGAAAUGACCACUGUUCAACAAAUGAGGUUAAAUAGUUGCACUUCUUAUUCAAACUUACUUGCUGAUCUGUUUUUACAAAUUUGAAAAAAUAAUUGAAAAAAAUUAAAUUUUUAUUUCAUAUUUUUUCUUUAAUUUUUUUUUUAAAUUUUUAUGUAAUAUUAUUAAAAAUAAAUUUAAAAACAAAACAAAAAUACUAUUUCAGUAUAUUUUUAAAUAAAAAAUACUUUAAAAAUUAAUUAUAAAAAAAACUUUAAAAAUUAAUUAUAAAAAAAAACUCUUAUUCUAUAUGGGAUUUGGCUGUGUUUCAAUCAGUUGAAAUUCGAAACAGUAGCUUCAUGAUGUUUAUCUCGAGCAGAAAAAUAAGUCUUUCCUUUGGUAAAUCUAUUUCUUGGUUAUCUCUGCAAAACUAAGUAAUUUUUUUUUCUGUUUUGUAUUAUGAUAUGAGUUGUGAAUUUAAAAGGUCAAUUUCAAUUAUUUUUUUAAUUUUAUUAUUUAAUAUUAAGUUAAUUAAGAAUUAUAUUUCAUAAUUUUAUUUUAAUUUGUUUUCUAAGGUAAUCAUUAUCUCAUACUCAGGUCAUGAAUUUGACAUGUUAACUUUUAUUGACCUGAAUCAAUCUAAUAAGUUGUUUUUUUAAUAUUAAAAAAUAAUAUUAUUUUAAUGUUUUUAGUUAAAUUAUAUUUUUACUAAAAACAUGUUAAAUAAACCAUGUCUCAUCAAAUUAACUCUUACAUUGUUGUUUUUUUUUUUUCAUUAGAAAAAAAACAUUGAUAAUAUUUGAAUAUUUUUUUAUAUUAAAAGAAAUUUAGAUACAAUUAGCGCUACCAAUAAUUUAGUUUUCACUAAUAAAAGUUUUUUUUGUAUCGUAGUAGUAGGGGUUGCUUUUCAAAGUAUUUUUUGUUUAAAUAAUUCAUUGAAAUAAUAUUUUUUAUUUUUUUAAAUUUAUUUUUGACAUCAACAUAUUAAAAUGAUCUCAAAAUACAUAAAAAAUAAUUAAUAUAAAAAAAAAUAUUUUUUAAAAAAGUAUUUUUAAAACAUAAAAACAAGCAUUCUUUAAAUAACCUAUUUUCUUGAAAUCUGAUAAGAAAACAAAAUUUCAAAGAAAUUCAACAACCCGGUGUGAGCCACUGACUAUCAAUUUCGUCCUUUCAAUUGUUAACCCUCAUAUUUAUAAUUUUUUUCCAUUAACUAUCAAUUGUUCAUUUUUUUGUUAUUGAUCAUAUGAACUGAUUUUGGGCUAUUUUGUUGAAGUUUGGAUUUUUGAUUAAAAUGAGAUGAAUGACCUGUUUAGGCAGUUUUAUGAUUUCGGGGACUAAAUUGAUCAUAUGGUGAUUUAGAGGAGUUUUAGUAUUGAUUUUUGGAUUAUUUCAAGAUAUGUGUUAGAUAUGUAAUUAAUGAAGUAGGGGUUAUCUUUUUGUUAUAUACAAAUCAAGAAUUAUGAACAGAGAGAAGGGUUACUGAUAAUUAAGUUACUAAAGAAUUUUGCAUGAGCAAACCAAGUUAAACAGUAUUACCUGAAACAUUGUGAUAUAUUAAUGUCUUUGUCCUUGGCGCUGCUUGACUUGCUAAUUUUAGAGUGUUGAACCCGGUAUUUUAAUUUUAUCAGGUGAUUUAAAUUAUUAUAAAUCUUAAUUUUAUUUUAUUUUUAUUUUUUUAUAUAAUUUCAACUUGAUUUGUGUUAAUGGAACGUGAUUGUAAUGCUUGAUGUUUGUAUGAAAAUAAUGGUUCGUGCCUUAUAACUAUAUGUUGAUUUGAGAAAAAAAAAUGAAAAUAUGGUCAUAAGGCUGAUAACAUUCGCUUGUCAGGAUUCAAUGGUCAAGUUAUCAUUAUAAUCAGUUUCCAUAUAUCAAAAUGAAGUUUAUUUCUAAUUAGAUUUUGAACAGGUUAUUUCCUUUUUUGUGUGUAAGUUUUCUUUGAAUUUGACUAAAUUGUAAAUUAGAAAACAAAUCAAAUCGCCAUGAUCCAUAGCAGUGCAAUGCUAGCUUAUUGCCAUGUCAGUGUUGCUUGAACAGAAUAAAAGAAUAGAAAUCUUUUUAUCAUGUUUUGAAAACUCAUAGCAAAGUUGAAUAUCUACUAGGAAAUUGUAAUGACAUUUUUAGCUUUACUGUUUUGGUGAAACUUUCUAAACACGGGGAAAAUUUUGUGAGACUGGGUUAGCUGAAUGAAGAAAUGCAACAGAUGUGAAAUGUUAUGGCUAAAGAGAAUUCUUGAAGAACUAUAAAAUUGUAUUAUGACAAUAAAGCUGCCAUAAGAACUCUUAAUACCGAGAAGGCUGGGAAUGUUACCACGUACAAAAGGUUAGAGAUUUUUAAUUUGAUACUUGCGAAAUUGAAGUAACAACAAUUUGAAUUCGAAACGAGAUUGAUAUAUGAUAAUUUUUUAAAAAAUAAGCAAUCUUGUAAAGGGCAUAAUUUUUUUUUUUUUUUAUCCUAAUCCAACUCAAAAUUUUAUUAGAAGAUUUUAAAUGCUUUAUUUUCUAUAAAAUUAGAAUUUUAUAAUCAUUUAAAAUCAACAAGACUUUCAAAUAAAACAAAAAAAAAACUAUCUAGACUUGUAAUAUUUUAUUAGUUGAUUUAAAUUUUUUUUUUCUAUUUAGUUUUUUUUUUUUAAGGAUUUGGGCCUCUAAAUCCCUUCGUGGUUUUGAAAUUAGAUAAACAAUGAUGGAGGCUUAUUCUUAUUCUUCUUAAGAAAAAAAAUACCAAAAACAUGAAUUAACUUACUUCUGCAUGAUAUAUCUUAUUAAAGGACAAAGCUAUCAAAUGCCCUUGAGGUCUUUGUUUUAAAUAUUAUUUAAAUAGAUUUAUUUAUUAUUAGAUUGUGUUAAGGAGAUAAAAUUAAAUAUUUGAAUGAAAAUAAUUGAUAUCAGUUAGAUAAGUGUUAUUUUAUAUGCCAAUAUUUUCUAUGCAUUUACAAUAAAAUCUAUAACAAAAAUGUAAAAGCAGAAUUUAUGGAGAACUUCCUGCUACGCUAAAAAAAUGGUGGAAGGUCAGACAUCUUUGUCACUACGAAGGCUCAAAGAAACAACAAACUACCUUCACAGUUUUAAUAAAAUAGCAUCUUUUAUUGUUAAGAAAAAACAGAGAAAAAAAAAGUGAUCUCACACGCGUAAAUAGAAACAGAGAUAAUAAUCCUCUGUCUAGCAACUGCCAACAAUCAUAACCCAAAAAUAAGAAAAAAAGCCAACAACGGCAAUCCAAUUACCUUUUUAAUGAGUUAAAGCAUCGCCUUCUUUUCCCGUGGAUGAUAAAACUGCAGUUAGGAUCAGUACAUUCAAGGGCCAAUUCAUCGCAAGGCUCACCACAAAUAUCGCAUGCCUGUGGACGAUAAUCUCCUGUCUUGUCUACCAAAGCAAGAGGGUGAUGGUGUUUAGGAGAUGUGAGAACGCCCCCAAGCUUGACAUAUGGGUAUUUCCCGAGAGCACAUUCUGGAUGAGCAUCGAAGUCGCAUUCCUCACAACGGUAGAACCAGAGCUUGGGGUCUCUAUCUUUUUCACAGAUUAUGCAGGAAGGCUGGUAGUCAUUUUCAUUAAUGUAGGUGAGGAAGAGAGGAUGGUCAUCAUACUCGUGUCUUGCUUUGUAUGGCAGUGUAGCACAUUUCAUACCCAGCUUGAAAUCGCAAACCGCACAUUUCAAAAAUACCUUUGAUUUUUCCCUGACACAACAGCCACUGCAAUGGGGAAUAUUCUCUUCGUCAUCUGCAGCCCAAGGGGGAAUCCCGCGACCCCCAAUACGGCAGCGGAGAAUACUCUUUCUGCCCGCUGGAAGAUAAAGGGGAUGCUCAUGACCUCCAUGUUUAAAAGAAUCUUUCAAUAUUGAUUUGAAGCAUCGGACAUCAACGCAGAGUCCACAUAUAUUACAUACGUACUUGAGCCCACUAAAAUCUUGAUCACACACAACACAGUAGAACAGAUGAUGUUCCCCUCGGCUCCAUAAAAGAAUCAGUUGGUUUUCGUGAUAUUGCCAUUUUUUUUGCCUGGGUAAUUCUAUGCAGGUUUUGUCAAGAAAGAAAUUACAACUGGCACAACUAUAAAAUGGAGUUGAGAUUGGUAACAUGCACCCAUCACACUUUAGAUCAUCAUCAACCUUGUCAGUAAGGAUUAGGUUAUGUUGAUGACUGAAAUAUUUGAUCUCUUCAAUUAUUCUUUCCUCUCCUUGCUUGAUCUCACGGACAACGCGAAAGCUAGGUUCCAUGGAUUGAUCAUCAACAGCCACACUUUGCUCUUCUUCGUUUUCUACUACAAUCUCUGUUGCAGAAUCCCCAUAUUCUCUACUACACUUCACGUGUGCAACAAAGUCACAGUCCGGGCAAUAGUAAACUCCGUAUUCUGUGUCAACAUCCCGACAGCAAAUUCCGCAGUACUUCUUUAUAGAUUUGAUACAUUGUUGAGGAUGAUAGGUGUGGAUGAUUCGGGGAUGAUGGUGCAGUGCCGUUUUAAGGGUGCGUGGCAGUGAAAUACAUUCUUCGUGGACCAAGAGUUGGCACAAGGUGCACACUAAUGGAGAGUCAUCACCAUCAGUGCCGCAUGCAUUGCAAGUGAAGGAGAUUGAUUUUAAUGAACGUGGAUUCAGCAGGCUUCUAAAUUGAUGCCCCUGAUCCUGAUCAGCUGCAUAAACGCACGGUGGAAAAGCACAUUUGAUAUGGAGGUUGAAUUCGCACACAAUACAGCAAUAAACAAAACUCUCAUAGCAACUUUCUUUGCAAAAACCACAGAUGAUGUGAUGAUUUGGCAGUAGACGAAGAGGGUGCUCUGGAUGAAUGUGCCUCUUGAUCUCUGGGGGUAGCUCAGCACACUUCUUGUGAAGAAAGAAGUUGCAAGAAGUGCAACCAUAGCUAGGACCCGAAAUUGGUUCUUUGCAAACAGAGCACACAACUGCUUCACCAUGAUAUUCUUGCUCUUCAUUCAAAAUCAAUGGAUGAUCCUUGUGAGCAAAUUGAUGUGCCUGACUAUCAACUUCCAAAAAACCCGGUUGAAAAGCACAUUUGAUAUCUAGAUCAAACUUACAGAAAGAACAGUGGUAAACAAAACAGUUGAAAGUUUUGUCGCACCGAUUACAACAGUAUUUUCCUUCAUAUGGUGACUUUGCCAGUAGAUGGAGAGGGUGUCUAGGAUGAAUGCGCCGCUUGAUCUCACGGGGCAGCUCGGCGCAUGUCUUAUGAAGAAAGAAGUAGCAAGAGGUGCAACUGUAGCAAGGACCCCAUAUUGGUCCCUCGCAUCCAGAGCAAAUAACUACUUCACAAAUAUAUUCGAGAACUUGAUUAAUGAGGAUCAAUGGAUGAUCUGGGUGGCUAAAAUGUUCAACCUCCAUGUCUCUGUCUCUCUCAGAAGACAGAGCAGGAAAUGAGGGUUGUUGAGCCAGGGCAAGACUUAGGUAGGCCACAUUGAAGCUGCCGAAUAUAUAUGUUAUUGAAAUGGAGAGGCAAAUAAAAGUUGAGUGCUCCUAUUAUUUAAUAACUCACCUUCUGAACUGAAACUCGACCUCUUCACCGACGGCUAAUUAAAUAAUUACAGCUGCUUGCUGCUAAAUUACAGAUCAACCAACGAGAUCCAGAACACAGUGAUUUCCCAUUAAGAUCGGAUAGCAGAAUUCAAAGAAGCCCGAAAAGGAAGGAAGGGUGUUAUCUGUAAGGAUGGGGUGGGAGGAAGAUCAUGAGGAUAGCUACAGGCUCUUCCAUUUGUGCAGAUGAUAUUAUACAAGCAUGUGAAUAAGAAGACACUUUCCCUUUUCUUUUCUUGUUGGAGUGGAAGACUCGUUGACUUGAGGUGGGUCUCGUCAACUUCUUGUUACAGGAUCAUGUCCAUUGCUUAGUAUUCUAUUGGAUUGGUCCAUUGCUUAGUUAAUGGAUCGUGUCCAUAUAAUAAGUUAUUAAUGAAAUAAAAAAUAGUAUUAGAAAGUAUUACUACUUGGAUUUGAAGGUGGGUUGUUAUCAAGCAAAACCAAUCAUCGGCCUGAAAACAUUGAACGCGCAUGAGACCUGACGUAUGUGAGAGAUGACAGCAAAUAAAUCGCAAAUAGAAUGUUGCGGUUAAAUUAAUUUUUUUAAAAUAAAAAAAUAUUCAGAUAUUAUUAAUAAACUACUAAAUAAUAGUAGCAUUCCUUUAAAUAUUAGUAAAAAUCUAGGUAAAAUAAAUCCUUCUUUUUAAAAAAUAACUAAAUCUUAACUAUCACCAUAAUAUAUUAUGUAAAUAAACUACUAAAAGAAAAAUCAUGAUUAUAUGAAAGCCAUUAUGAUUUUAGCUCCUGCAUUAUUUUUCUCGAAAUAAAAACAACUCAGAUUUUUAGUUGAAAUCGUUCUUGUCUCGAUUAUAAGGACAUGUCACAGAAGAUCAUUUAUCUUGGAAUUAAAUUAUAUAAUUAGAGAUAUAAAAAAAAAUUGAAAACACAUUCUCUUAUAUAUCACAUUUCAUCAUGUUCAUUAACUACAAACAAUUAAAUUCAGAUUAAAUAGAUAUAAUUUAUACAUGUAUAUAAAAAUAACAACUUAACUAUUAAUUAUUUUUUUCUCUCGUCUAAUUUAAACUAUAAAUUCAAAAACUAAUGUUAACCAUUUCUCCUUAAAAAGCCCUCGACCUUAAAGUCUCCAUUGCCAUUCCUAUUUGGUUUUCUAGAUUUUAUAAUGAAGAGAGAGAUUGGGAAAGGAAGAAGAUAAUGUGUGUAUUGCCUUUCAGAAUUAAUUACAGGUUUUUCAUAUCACAUUUUUCAUGCUUAUCACCCACAAAUUAUUAAAUUAAAGUAAAAAUGACAUCAAUUAUAUAUAAUAAAAGUAAAAAUUUAACUAUUUAUUGUUUAAAACAUGUCAAGUCAAAUUUAUAGUAUUAUAAAUCAUAAGGUAAUCAUUGAAUACAUAUCGAAAAAAAAUGCAGGAUAAACUAAAAAUAAUAAUUGUUUGUUAAAAAAUAAUGGUUGUCAAAAUUAAAAAGACAACUAUAACCUUAGUCAAACUAAAACUAAAAUUUUAAUGUUAUUUAAAAAAAACACCUUUUAACAUAUUUUGUUUUAAUUUAAGAAAUUAAUAAAGAAAUAUAUAUAAUAUAUAUUUAGUUAUCUAAUUCUACAUCAAAUAGACUUAAAAGAAAAAAAAUGGCAAAAAAUAGUUAAGCACAUGAUCCAGGAGGCCCAACACGCCAAUCAACACAUGCUAACAUGUUUCGACUUCAUUUCUUAUUUUUAUUAUCAUUAUUAUUAUUUAAAUGGGAGGACUUUUUAAAAUAACCAUCCGAUAUGUUUUUUGUUGUGACAAAUUAAAAACACAUUAUCUAUUUGUUUUACCGUCAAGAAACUCUAGAGGCUGGAAGUCACCUGAAAAUUGCUCUUAGAAACACAAAACACCAUUUCAAUCAUUUUUUUCAUUUAAAAACACUUAGAAAUACAACGUAAACAUAACCUCUAAAUAAUGUUUAAUCGAUUAAAAAACUUAAAAUUUGUUCUGGUUAAAAAAAAAAUCCCCAAAAAAUCUACUUUUAUAGUAAAAUGAAGGGCAAUAUACAUCAAUAGAAUUCUUAUCUUGAAAUGGUAUUAUUAAUAUUAAAAAUAAUUUUUUUUGGUUGUUUUUUAAAAUAUUUUUUUCUUAAAUUAAUUAUAUUAGUAAAAGUUGAAUUGAGAAAAAAAAAACCGAAAAAUUUAAUGAGAAAAGGAAACAAACACUUUGCGAAUCCAAAACAAAUCCUCUCACAAGCCAUAUAGUGAUUAACAUAUGACUUUUAGUUUUUUGUAUAAUUUUGUAGUUAUUUAUAAAAUGUCUUAGAUAUAUAAUUAUUAAUGGAGUCGGGAUUAUGUUUUUGUUCUCUACAAAUCAAGAAAUUUGAUAUAUACAGUACUUAGAACAAAAAAGAAGGGUUACUGAUAAGUUAAUAUCUUUACAGCAGAAAAUCAAGUUAAAUAGUAUUACAUAAUAAUGUAUUUAAUUUAUUUUUCUUUGUGUAUGUGUCACACAUUACUGCUUUGUUUUUGUAGGUUUUGUGUUCGUGCCUCGAGGAGUAGGCAAAACUCGUGAUUGAAAUGACCACUGUUCAACAAAUGAGGUUAAAUAGUUGCACUUCUUAUUCAAACUUACUUGCUGGUCUGUUUUUACAAUUUUGAAAAAAUAAUUGAAAAAAAUUAAAUUUUUAUUUUAUAUUUUUUCUUUAAAUUAUUAUUUUUUUAUUUUUUAAAAUUUUUUAUGUACUAUUAUUAAAAAUAAAUUAAAAAAAAUACUAUUUCAAUAUAUUUUUAAAUAAAAAAUACUUUAAAAUUAAUUAUAAAAAAAAACUCUUAUUCUAUAUGUGAUUUGGCUGUGUUUCAAUCAGUUGAAAUUCGAAACAGUAGCUUCAUGAUGUUUAUCUCGAGCAGAAAAAUAAGUCUUUCCUUUGGUAAAUCUAUUUCUUGGUUAUCUCUGCAAAACUAAGUAAUUUUUUUUUCUAUAGAAAUGUUUUCAUAUUAUGAUUUGAGUUGUGAAUUUAAAAGGAUAAUUCAAGUUAUUUUUUUAAUUUUAUUAUUUAAUAUUAAGUUAAUUAAAAAUUAUAUUUUAUAAUUUUGUUUUAAUUUGUUUUCUAUGAGAUAAUCAUUGUCUCAUACUCAGGUCAUGAAUUUGACAUGUUAACUUACGUUGACCCGAGUCAAUCCAAUAAAUUGUUUUUUUAAUAUUAACAAUUUAUUGGAUUGACUCGGGUAAGAUAUUAUAUUAACCUGAAUUUGAUGUAAGAUAUUAUAUUAAUUUUUUUAGUUAAAUUAUAUUUUUACUAAAAACCUGCUAAAUAAAUCAGGUCACAUCAAAUCAACUCUUACAUUACUUAUUUUUUUAUUAGAAAAAACAUUAAUAAUAUUUGAAUAUUUUUUAUGUUAAAAUAAAUUUAGAUACAAUUAGCGCUACCAAUAAUUUAGUUUCCACUAAUAACAUUUUUUUUAUAUCGUAGUAUAAGUUGUUUUUCAAAAUAGCUUUUCGUGCUGAAAAGCAUGCCAAUAAUGUUUUAGGGUGUUUGGGAGUGUGGUAGCGGUUGCUUUUCAAAUAGUUUUUCGUGCCGAAAAGCAUGCCAAUAAUGUUUUUUUAUUUUUAAAAAAUUAUUUUUCAUAGCAGCACAUCAAAACGAUCCAAAAAGUACAAACCACACUUAAUUUUAGCAAAAAUAUUUUUUUUGAAAAUUUGCAAAAAGCAGAUUGCACCGCAGUGCUAAACGGCACCCAAGUUAAACAGUAUUACCUGAAACAUUUUGAUAUAUUAAUGUCUUUGUCCUUGGCGCAGCUUGACUUGCUAAUUUUAGGGUGUUCAACCCGAUAUUUUAAUUUUAUCAAGUAAUUUAAAUUAUUAUAAAUCUUAAUUUUAUUUUUUUUUUAAUUUUUUUUAUAUAAUUUCAACUUGAUAUGUAUUAAUGGAACGUGAUUGUAAUGCUAGAUGUUUGUAUGAAAAUAAUGGUUCGUGCCUUAUAACUAUAUGUUGAUUUGAGAAAAAAAAUGAAAAUAUGGUCAUAAGGCUGAUAACAUUCGCUUGUGAGGAUACAAAUUUAGCAUGAGGAAAAAAGUAAAUUUGAGUUACAUGGUUUUGAUUUCUCACAGUUGUGUCAGGAUAAUGUAAGUUUUCUUGUAAAAGUUUUUGGCCAUUUGAUUAUGCUAUUACAACAAACACAUGAACACUCUAGCCUUUAUUACAUUUCAAAAAGAAGGAAAGAAAGAAAACAAAGAAAAGACCCCCUUAUAAACUAGUCAUCAGUCUACAGAAGUUUUAGCUACUGGUUUGUUUUCUUGAUGGCUGUGUUUUAAAAAAAUUGAUUUUUAAAUUUUUUUAAAAAAAUUUUUAAACUAUUUUGAUGUACUAAUAUAAAAAAAAAUUUUAAAAAUAAAAAUAUUAUUUUUAUACGUUUACAAGAAAAAAAAUUUAAAAAACAAUAAAUAAUAAUAAUAAAAAAAAACAGAAGGCAAACUACUUUAUUACAUUUUUGCAUAUCAAUGAAAUCCAGCGGUACUAGUGGCAUCCCUUUUAUAUUGGAGAUGGUGAAUGCCAAUAUUCCACUCGUUAAAGCUGCAACAAAUUAUACAACAUAUUAAAAGGAACCAAUAUUUCUAUUAUUAUUUAUCUAUAUAUAAAGUACUGUAAUUAAUGUUAUUUAAAAAACACCUUUAAUAUAUUUUGUAUUCAUUUAAGAAAUUAAUAAAGAAAUAUAUAUAACAUAUAUUUAGUUAUCUAAUUUUACAUUAAAUUAUAUGUUAAAAAACACUUUUCAAAAAAAAAAAAAAAACAACUAUAACCUUAUUCGAACUAAAACUAAAAUUUUAAUGUUAUUUAAAAAACACCUUUAAUGUAUUUGGUAUUAAUUUAAGAAAUUAAUAAAUAUACACACACAUAUAGAGUUAACUAAUUCUACAUUAAAUAGACUUAAAAGGAAAAAUAAAUGCAAAAAAAUGAUCGAGCACAUGGAUCAAGGAGGCCUAGCACCCCCGUCAACAGGCUCAUACAUUUGGGCUUGAUUUUUAUUAUUAUUAUUUAGAUGAGAGCAAGGUUGUUAAAAUCGCGAUUUUAGAACGAAACGGAAAGCCCUUCACAAAAUCGGAUCGUAAAAUCGUAAAAUCGUAAGGAAUUUUGAAAUACAUUAAAAAAAAUUCAUGUUUCAAAUAAAAAUUCAUACAUAAUUCAAGCCUUCAAAUAAAAAUUUAUAUAUAGUUCAAGCAUCUUAAAAUACAGGAUUCAAAUAAAAGUCAUAUAUAAUAUAAAAUAACUUUUCAUUAACUAAUAAUCAACAAACUUAAAACAAACAAUCUGCUGGUGUGUAAUGUAAACUAAAACUAGCUUCAUUCCCUUCAUCUUACUCAUCAUUCCUUAAGCAUUCAUCACAAUAAAAAAAAUAUAUUGAUAUAAAAAAUAAAAAAAAUAUAAAUUCAGCAUUAUUAUAGUAUACAUAUUUAAAUAAAUAUUAAUUUUUAAAAGCAGCAUACACCACAAUAAUAUAUAUACACUACAUGUUACUUCAUUUAUAAGUCCGCAAAACAAUUAGUUACAUGUUAGAAAAAAUAAUUUGAUAUUAUUAUAUGAAAAUAAAAAAAACAUUAAAAAAUAAUUUAAAAUAAAAAUAAUAUUUUUUUAUAAAAACAUUUUCUAACCAAGAAAAAAAGCCUCUUAAAAAAAAUACUUUACUUGUACAAACAUACGAAAAUGAAUCCCACCUACUGAAAACCUAAAAAGAGAAAUCAAUCACAAAAAUCAAGGCUAAUUUGGGGGGGGGGAGCAAAUGAACAAUUAUAAUAUUGGGGGGAGGGGGUGCGGGAGCAAUUAUAUUGGGGGGGGGUCAAUUAUAAUAUUGGGAGGGGGGCAAUUAUAUUGGGGGAGUGGGGCCUUCAGAAAUUAUGUUGAAAUCGUAAAAUCGGUCCUGAUAUCGCGAUUUUACGCGAUAUCAUCCGAUUUUUACGAUUUUAUCCUAUUUCAAUCCGAUUUUACCCAUUUUUGAUUUUUUCAAUCGAUUCAACUCGUAAUGCAUGUUUUGACUCGUAAAAUGUACGAUUUUACGAGUCAAAACACGAUUUUGACAACCUUGGAUGAGAGGACUUUUUAAAGUAACUAAACGAUACGUCUUUUGUAGUGGCAAAAAACACGUCACCUAUUUAUUUCAUUGCCGAGAAACUCUAAAGGUUGGAUGUCGCUGGAAAAUUGCUUCCCACUCUUUUGACACAAAACAUCAUUUCAAGCAUUUCUUUCAUUUAAAAACCACUUAGAAACACCCAGCAAACAUAACCUCGAAACAAGUUUUAAAGUAAAAUACUCAAAAUUUAUUCCGGUUCAAAACAAAUUCCCAAAGGAUCUAUUUUUGAAGCAAAAAAUACAUCAAUAGAAUUCUUAUCUUGAAAUGGAACCCCCAUUAGCUUCAAGAACAAUUUGUUUCUGUUGCUAAAUUAUGGUUAACAAGACUGAAAUGUAAAUAAAAUAAAAUCAUGGACCAAAUAGUAUAAUUUUCAAGUUAAAGGGACCAAAACUAAUAUUGAACUAAAUUUUAAGUUUAAAAGGCUGUCAUGACCCAAUUUUUUUUUUUAUUAUUUUAUUUUAUUUAUCAAAAAUGAUAAUAAAAUAAAUGAAUGAUGCAACGAAAUAAAAAAAUGAUGAUUAAAAAGAAACAAAUAAAAAUAAAAUGAAUUAAGAAUGCAUUAAAUUUGGGUUAAAAUCAAAAUCAUACUCAUAUAUGCUAUUCUUACAAGCAACGUACAAACUGAAAGUUGUGUUUAUUUCACUUUAAAAAAGGUGCUCUCAAAUAAGGAAAACCUUUCAAUAUAAUAAUCACCCAUAUGCCAUUGAAAUAGAGAUUAAGGAUUUUCUUGGAAAAGAGAUUGCUCUGUCAAAGAAGGGGAUCGUUAUAUCCCAACAGCAGAUGUUCUUAAGGAGACUGGGAUGAGUGGCUGUAGGCUAGCAGACACUCCACUAGGUCCCCAUCACAAACUUGAAGAUGACAAGGAAGGUGAUUCAGUGUGAUUACAACACAUUAUCAAAAAUUGAUGGGAGAGCUGAUUUACUUAUCAAAUAUAUGAUCUAAUAUUGCAUUUGUUGUGAGUUUAGUAAGCUAGUUUAUGCGAUCACACCACGCAAAACAUCUUGAAGCAGUUUAUAUCGGAUUCUCAUAUACUUGAAAAGCACACCAGACAAGCGCAGAUAAUAAAAGCAUACACUGAUGCAGAUUGGGUGGGUUCAGUCAUUGAUAGAAGAUCAACAUUAGAAUACUGUACCUAAGUUUGAGGAAAUAUAGUCACAUGGCAAAGUAAGAAACAAAAUGUGGUUGCAAGAAGCAGUGCUGAGGUAGAAUAUAAGAAGAGAAUUCUUGAAGAAACUGUGAAUGCCUGUGAUUAUGUCAACAUUAACCAAGCUCCCGUUUCUUGUUUUUCUAGCCUAGGGAUCCAAUCUUUAUUUUGAUUUCCUAAUUUGUGGCCUUUCUAAUGUGGUGAUCUCCUCUACUAUUUUAUCUUGUAACCAUAUCUAUUGAAUGAAUAAGAAAUAAGAUUCUUCUUCUUCUUCCAAUAACCUACACACACAACACAGUAAUAGAAGAAGAAGAAGAAGAAUUCAUGGAUUCGUGCAUCGGUGAGUCUGAAAGUCAUGUGUAAACGCCCAUUACCUUCAUAUGUGGGUAUUUCCUAAGAGCACAUUCUGAAUGAGCAUCAAAGUCAUAUUUCUCAAACGGUAGAACCAGAGCUUUAUGAUUUUCACAAAUUUGACAGACAAAUUGGUAGUCAUUUGGAUCAUUACAGGUGAGGAAGAGAGGAUGGUCAUCGUACAUGUGUCUAGCUUUACAUGGCAGAGCAGCCCAUCUAUUACAUGUUGUAUUUAUUUUAAAAUAUAUUAAAAUAAUAUAUAUUUUUUAUUAUUUUAAAAUUAUUUUUAAUAUUACUAUAUCAAUCGAUUUGAAAAUAUAUAUAAAAAAAUAAUUUAAAAUAAAAAAAUAAAAAUAAAAAUAAUUUUAAAAAUUAUUUUUAAAACAUAAAAAUAUAUAAGCUUUUAAUACCAAAAAGACUAAGAAUAUUGCUAGUAGUAUGCAAAGGUUGGAGAUUUUUAAUUAAAUAUCUAUGAAAUUAAAGCGAAAAUAAUUUGAUAACAAUUUUAAUUCGAGACAAGAUAAGAUUGAUAUAUAUGAUAUAUAUAUUUUUUAAAUAAACAGUCUGGGUAUAAUUUUUUUUUUUAUCUCAAUCCAACUCAAAUUUUAUUAGUCAUUUAAAAUCAGUAAGACUUUCAAAUAAAACCACAAAAACUAUCUAGACCUGUACUAUUUUAUUAGUUGAUAUAGAAUUUUUUUCCUAUUUAUUUAAAAAAAAUUAUUUUUUUGAGGAUUUUUUAAUAUAUAAACACUAUAAUAUUAUAUUUUAAUUAGAUAAUUAUGAUUUUUAUGUUGUAAUUUUACUUAACUCUAAUUUUAUGUGUACGUUUUGAUGUAGAAAUUAUAAACUGUCUCGCCGAAAAAUCAUCUUGUCUAACCAAAUAAUCGAAAGGGGAUAUGGGCUUCUAAAUCCCUUCUUAAGAAGAUCAAGGCUUAUUCUUAUUCUUCUUAAAAAAAAUACCAAAAACAUGAAUUAAUACUCUUCAUUAUAUAUCUUAAAGGAAAAGGCUAUCGGAUGCCCUUGAGGUGUUCGUUUUAAAUAUUAUUUAAAUACAUUUAUUUAUAAAAUAUCAGUUAGAUAAGUGUUAUUUUAUAUGACAAUAUUUAUAUGCAUUUACAAUAAAAUCUUUAACAAAAAUGUAAAGGCAGAAUUUAUGGAGAGCUUCCUGCUAAGCAAAAAAAAAAUAAAAAUGGUGGAAGGUAACACAUCUUCGUCACUUACGAAGGGACAAAGAAACAACAAACUACAUUGACAGUUUUAAUGAAAUAGCAUCUUUUAUUGUUCAGAAAAAAAAAAGAGAAAAAAAAAGUGAUCUGAUAUGCGAAAAUAGAAACAGAGAUAAUAAGUAUGAAGCUAACCAUUCACCCCAACAAUCAUAACCCAAAAAUAAGAAAAAAGCCAACAACUACAAUCCAAUUACCGUUUUAAUGAGUUAAAGCAUCGCCAUCUUUCCCAGUGGACGAUAAAACUGCAGUUAGUAUCAGUACAUUCAAGGGCCAAGUCAUCGCAAGGCUCACCGCAACAAUCGCAUGCCUGCGGACGAUAAUCCCCUGUCUUGUCGACCAAAGCAAGAGGGUGAGGGUGAUUAGGAUAUGUUAGAACCCCCCCUCGCUUGAAAUAUGGGUAUUUCCCGAGAGCACAUUCAGGAUGAGCAUCGAAGUCGCAUUGCUCACAACGGUAGAACCAGAGCUUCGGGUCUCUAUCUUUUUCACAAAUUAAGCAGGAAGGCUGGUAGUCAUUUUCAUUAAUGUAGGUGAGGAAGAGAGGAUGGUCAUCAUACUCGUGUCUUGCUUUGUAUGGCAGUGUAGCACAUUUCAUACCCAGCUUGAAAUCGCAAACCGCACAUUUAAAAAAUACCUUUGAUUCUUCACUGACACAACAGCCACUGCAAUGGGGAAUAAUCUCUCCGUCCGCUGCAAGCAAAGGGGGAAUCCCGCGACCUCCAAUAUUGCAACGGAGAAUAUUCUUUCUGCCCGCUGGAAGAUAAAGGGGAUGCUCAUGACCUCCAUGUUUAGUGGAAUCUUUCAAUGAUUUGAAGCAUCGGACAUCAAUGCAGAGUCGACAUACAUCACAUAUGUACCUGAGCCCACUAAAAAGUUGACGACACACAUCACAGUAGCACAGAUCAUGUGCCCCUUGGAUCCAUGAAAGAAUCAGUUGGUUUUCGUGAUAUUGCCACUUUUUUUACCUGGAUAAUUCUAUGCAGGUUUUGUCGAGAAAGAAAUUACAACUUGCACAACUAUAAAAUGGAGUUGAGAUUGGUAACAGGCACCCAUCACACUUUAAAUCAUCAUCAACCUUGUCAAUAAGGAUUAGGUUAUGUUGAUGACUGAAAUGGUCGAUCUCUUCAAUUAUUCUCUCCUCUCCAUGCUUGAUUUCACGGACAACGCGAAAGCUAGGUUCCAUGAAUUGAUCAUCAGCGGUCACACUUUGCUCUUCUUCGUUUUCUUCUACAAUCUCUGUUGCAGAAUCGCCAUAUUCUCUACUACAAUUCACGUGUGCAACGAAGUCACAGUCUGGGCAAUAGUAAACUCCGUAUUCUGUGUCAACUUCCCGACAGCAAAUUCCACAGUACUUCUUUAUAGAUUUGAUACAUUGUUGAGGAUGAUAGGUGUGGAUGAUUUGGGGAUGAUGGUGCAGUGCCGUUUUAAGGGUGCGUGGCAAUGAAAUGCAUUUUCGUGGACCAGAGUUGGCACAUAGUGCAAAAUGGGAGUCAUCUCCAUCUGUGCCACAUGCAUUGCAAGUGAAGGAGAUUGAUUUUAAUGAGAGUGGAUUCAGUAGGCGUCUAAAUUGAUGCCUUUGAUCUGAUCAGCUGCAUAAAUGCACGGUGGAAAAGCACAUUUGAUAUGGAGGUUGAAUUCGCACACAAAAAAAGUAAACAAAACUCUCAUAGCAAGUUUCGUUGCAAAAAUCACAGAUCAUAUCAUGAUUUGGCAGUAGACAAAGAGGGUGUUCUGGAUGCAAAUGCUGCUUGAUCUCUGGGGGUAGCUCAGCACACUUCUUGUGAAGAAAGGAGUUGCAAGAAGUGCAACUAUAGCUAGGACCCGACAUUGGUUCCUUGCAAACAGAGCACUUAACUCCUUCACCAUAAUAUUCUUUCUCUCCAUUCAAAAUCAAUGGAUGAUCCUUGUGGGCAAAUUGAUGUGCCGGACUAUCAACUUCCAAAAAACCCGGUUGAAAAGCACAUUUGAUAUCAAGAUCAAAUUUACACAAAGAACAAUGGUAAACAAAACUGUUGCAAGUUUUGUCGCACCGAUUACAAACGCAUUUGACAUUAUAUUGUCGAUACGGUGGCUUUGGCAGUAGAUGUAAAGGGUGUCUACGAUGAAUGCGCCGCUUGAUCUCACGGGGCAGCUCGGCGCAUUUCUUAUGAAGAAAGAAGUAGCAAGAGGUGCAACUGUAGCAAGGACCCCAUAUUGGUCCCUCGCAUCCAGAGCAAAUAACUAGUUCACAACUAUACUCGAGAACUUGAUUAAUGAGGAUCAAUGGAUGAUCUGGGUGGCUAAAAUGUUCAACCUCCAUGUCUCUGGCUCUCUCAGAGGACAGAGCAGGAAAUGAGGGUUGUUGAGCCAAGGCAAGACUUAGGUAGGCCAGAUUGAAGCUGCCGAAUAUAUAUGUUAUCGAAAUGGAAAGGCAAAUAAAAGUUGAGUGCUACUAGAAUUCAAUACCUCACCUUCUGAACUGAAACUUGACCUCUUCACCGACGACGGCUAAUUAAAUAAUUACAGCUGCUUACUGCUACAUUACAGAUCAACCAACAAGAUCCAGAACACUGUGAUUUCCCAUUAAGAUCGGAUAUCAAUCAAUUGCUGGGGAAGCGUUUUCUUCCUUCUUCCCAUUUAUCAAAGAUAGCCGAAACGAAAAAUAAUUCAAAGGACUUAAAAUUCAAAGAGGCCCAAAAAGAAAGGAAGGGUGUUAGCUGUAAGGAAGAGGUGGGAAGAAGAUCAUGAGGAAAUCUACAAGCUCCUCUAUUCGUACGGAUGAUAUUGUUCAAGCAUGUGAAUAAGAAGACACUUUUCCAUGUCUUUUCUGGUUGGAUAAGAAGACUCGUUGACUUGAGUUGGGCUCCUCAACUUCUUAUAUUACUCAUUUGCCCAUGGAUAGCGGUUUAAAAUUGCUUUCUAAACGGUAUUUUUAAUAAAAAAAUAUUUAAAAUUAAGUUUUUUGUAUUUUUAAAUAUGUUAAUAUUAAAAAUAAUAUUUAAAAAAUAAAAACAUUUAUUUUAAUAUUUUUUCAAAUAAAAAAAGUAUUUUAAAAAAUAACUACUAACACCCUUCUAAACUUUUUCCAAGUAGAGGUAAUUCAAAUUAAAAAUCUAAUGAUAAAAUCCUUUAAUUAUUAAAAUCAUAAAUUAAUAAUUACAUGUAUAUAUAAUUAACAUAUUUUAUCUAAAUCUCAAAUACGUCUUUUUUUUUUCUAUCAUAACGAAACUAUAUCAAUUAAUAAAUUUAUAAAUGUUAACUAUACUUUAUAGUUUAAUUUUUAUAAUAAAAUGAUUUUACUCUUAAUAACCUAGAAAUGUGAAACAAAUACAUAAUUAACUAAACUUAUGAUAUUUCAUUUAAAUUAACUAAAAUAUUUUAAGCAAAUUGCACAUAACGUAGAAGUUUAAUGUUAUAUAUUCUGCCUUUUAUUGAAUAACUUAACUAAAAAUUAAAGAUAUAAUUAAUUGAUAUAAUUACACUUAUAAAAGACUUAUUAGAAAUAAUCUUUACGAUAUAAGGAAAUAUGAGGUACUUAUCAUGAGUAAGUGAUAUUUUUUAUAUCAAAAUAAAUUUGUGAAGGUCGUGUGACUUCUUUGUUAAUUUGAAUGGAAAAAAUAAACAGAACAUGUUAGAAAAAAUCAUUUAUCUUGGAAUUAAAUUAUAUAAUUAGAGAUAUAAAGAGAAAUUAAAAACACAUUCUCUUAUACAAGGAUUCAUUAAUUAAACCAUUUCUCCUUAAAAAACCUCCGACCUCAAAGUCUCCAUUGUCAUUCCUAUUUCGUUUUCUAGAUUUUAUAACGAAGAGAGGGAUGGGGAAAGGAAGAAGAUCAUGUGUGUGUUUCCUUCCCAAAUUAAUCACAGGUUUUUAGAAUUUAUAUAAACAAAUGUCUUUAUUAUAUUAUAAUAAGAAAAUGUCUGAUGAGGUAAAUUUUGUCUGGUAUGUGGUUAUUCUUUUUUGGUAUACGAUGGAUUUGGAGGAGAAAUAUUUUAGCUUUUAAGAAGGAGUAUUUAGGGGAUAACCAAUUGUUACGUUAAAUUUACUUUCUAAAAGAUGUGUUUAGCGAUACUUAAAAUAAUUCAACUAUUAUGCGUACGCACUUUACUACUAUCUCAUGACUUAAGCUUGAAGAAGAAUUUAUUAAACUAGAUGUGAAUGACACCUUUCUUCGGAACCCGGGGAGAAUUGGAUUUGGGGUCUCAUAGGAAAUUUUGAAGGGAGAUAGUUGAUGGGUUGUAUGAGUUAUAGAGGUUUUGAUUUUAAUCUACUUCUAGAAUUACUAGGAAUUAAAUAUUGUUUAUCGGUAACAUGAGAUAGAGAUUACAAAAAUAUCAUAUGCAACUCUGAUUCUAUAGAAGUUAUUCAAUUGAUUUAUAAUGAUUUUAACAACUAUCAUUUAUUCGAACUUGUUAUUUUUUACAUUAAAGAGCUCCUAACACGAAAUUAAAAAGUUCGUUUGUUUUAUACUUUGCGUGAAGCUAAUUCAUGUGCUUAUUAUAGAGCUAAACUUGCAGCUACAAGUGACUCUAAUUUAUAUAUUUGGGAGAACCCUCCUCCAAGAGUUUGUCCUUUAUUAUUAUUUGAUUCUCCAAGUUUUGUUUAUCUUAGAGCAUCAUAGUUUUUUCUUUUUUCUUUCCACUGUACCAAAAAAAAAAAUAUCUUUAUUAUAUUCAUCAUGUCCAUAUAAUAAUUUGACAGUGAAUACACAGUAAAGUAUGAAUUCAUUAAGAUUCACCCUCUCGUAUUUUUUAUGUCAUAUUUCAUCAUGUUCAUUAACUACAAACAAUUAAAUUCAGAUUAAGUAGAUAUAAUUUAUACACAUAUAUAAAAAUAACAACUUACAAGCUAUGAGUAAGCCAACUUUACCAAAUAUUUGAAUUUUAAAGAAACUUGAGUCAUGUAUAUCAAGAAAUCUGAUGCCUGGUCUUAAUAAGUACACAGCUCAUUUUAUUAUCAAUUAUAGCUCCUUCUAGCAGAGCUAUUUUCCAAUUUCAUUUUCCCAAUUACAGUUAAGAGGGUAUUCAAACCUUUUCUCAAACAUGUUUGAAAUUCUCUUAAUGAAUUCAAUUUUGAGAUUUCAAUAAAAUUUCAUGUUUGGAAUAUUUGAAGUAUUGAGAAUUGAAUUUCAAAUGAAAAUUCAUUCUCAAAAUUUUUUAAGUAUUAUAAAUUUGCGUCAUGCAUACAAUCUUAGGAUUGAGAGGAAGGAUGAAAGGCUGACAACCAUAGCAGUAGAAAAUUUCCUGACACCAAAUUAACAAGAAGUUACUGUGUAUUUUCUACUAUUGUUUACCACUAUCUGAAUUGUUUUUAUUUCCACCAUGCAGUCUUGCACAAAAGUUGCUGUCGACUUCGUCUCACCUGAAAAUAUAAGGGAAUGCCUCCAGUUAACUGAAGAGUUUCGACAACUUCCAGUGAACCGUAGAGCUAGAGAGGAUAAACUAGAGGUAACUUCUUUCCUGAUACAAAUAUAUUAUGCAUCGAUUACAUUAUUUUAACUUUAUUUCUUCAUCUUUUUUAACAAUGUGGAACAGAUAAAGAAAAUGAUAAUCUAUGCAAUCGAUAAAGCCAUUAUAGACUUGCAAGAGCUAACAAAAUCACAGCACUGAGCUUUGCCGCGGCUACUUCCAACAGGCAGGCAGACACCACAGAUCCAGCAGCAGCACAUUUUUUUAUUCUCUUUUAGAUUUCCAUAAGUACAUACAUUGCCCUCACCCUGUUGUCAUGGCUGCACUAAAGGCUAUCGGCAGCAAUUUUCUCGAAGUUGCCAUUGAAAUAAAAUAAAAGGUUUAAUUAUGAGCACAUCGCCUCUUUGUUCUUGUUUGGUUUUUAUGGAAUUUUUUUACUUGCAUAGUUGCUCUUGGGUUCUGUUUGAAGAAAACAAUGCCUGCAUUACCUCUGCCUACUGCUUGAUAUUUGGCUGGCCACUUCAUGGGCAUGGAAAGAUGUAACGGAUGGGAUCCAUGAUCCAAGAGCUUAAUUCAAAGUUGAAAAAGAAACAUGCUCUCACGUCCAACUUUCCUUAUAAUGGGACAUGAUGCCAGGUAUUCAAGCUUUUGAUUUGUUUUAACUCGUUCAAGCAAAUCUGGAUCUGCAUGAUAAACAAGCAUAACAUUGAGAUUGUGUUUGAUAUUGUGGUAGUUUUUAUGGUUGUGGUUUGAAAAAAGUUGUUUUAUAAAAAGUAUUUUUAGUUGAGAUUGGUUUGAAAAAAAUAAAUGUUUAGUUAAAACUGUAGUUGAAAUUGAGGUUGAAAAAUAAUAAUUUUAAUGUGUUUGGUUAAGAAUGCUUUUGAAAUUGAGGUUAUUAUAUAUAAUAUAUAUAUAUAUAUAUUUUGAUGGUUUUAAUUUAAAUACUGUGGAUUUAACUAUUGCUAUUAUUACAUCAUGAAAUAAAUUACACUUUAUAUAAAAAAAUUACUUUAACAGAAAACUAUCUACAAUUCCAUUACGUACAAAAUUUAUCUGACAAGAACUACAAAAUUAGAUAAAAUAUUAUCAAGAAUAAAAUUAAGAUUACAGUACGAGUAAAUUUAAUUCACCUCAAACUAAUUUUUUUUAAAAAAAUUAUUAUUCAUGUUUACGUGAAUAGUGCAACUAAAAUCAAUUAACCACACUGAUUUUUUAAAAUAAAAAAAAACUGUUCAGUGAACAGUAGAGCAUGGAUCAGGAUUUUAGCCGCGCAGAAAGCAGCUCCUAGCUGCUUUUUUUUUUUCUUAUGUUGCACACCGUGGGAUUCAUAAACAGUGACAAACGUUUGUUAAUUAACCAAACAGCUUGUUGCAUGAAAUCGCAGGAAAUGUGUACACUAUAACGUUGCCAAACGGUUUCUAAAGCUAAGCUGAUAGCAUAUCCAAACUUGUAUACAUUUUCUGAGUAGAUCAACCCAACAAAGACCCGUGUCACAAAUUUUUAUUAAGAAAUUAAUCAAUUUAAGCCAAUCUGACGCGGUCGAUUCUGAACGGCGGCGCUUCGUCUGAUGAUCAUGGAUCGAUUGAGGCCGUUGAGGCUGCGACUCCGGAUGUGGUUGAUGGCGUGUUUUGUGGGAAGAGGAUUACGGUUUUGCCACCGGUGACGGCGAGUGCGGUUGCGGGACUGGUUUCUGGUGUGGAGGUUACGGCGAAGACGAGGCUUCCAGUGAGGAGCAAGGCGGUGGUGAGUUUCCGGUGGGGAGUUCGGGUUCCGGCUGAAAUUAAGAGUGGCGGUGAAUCAACGGCUGGGAUUAAUUUUAGGACGAUACCGGUCUUUGUGAUGAAUAAGAUUGGAAUUGAACACGUGGAUGGUAGGGAUGAGAGGAGUAAGAAGGAGGGGGCGACAAGGAAGGUGGAGAUGGAUUCGGGGAAUGCUGAGGUGGCAGAGGCGUGUUUGGGUGUGGAAAGGCAAUUAGAGGUUUUGCAGAGCGAGAACGGGCAUUUGAGGAAAGCAGUGGAGGAAUUGAGUGAAGAAAUUGGCGGAGGGAAAUUAUUAGUUGGGGAUUUGGAUUCUGGAAAAUACGAGAGAAAUGGAAUUAAAAGCCCCGAGUAGAAAGGAGGAGAAACAAUGAGAGGAAGAAAUCAAUGGAAGGAGAUUGAAGAAGAAGGCAUCUAAUGGAACAGCUACUAGUGGUAAUUUGUCCUCGAAAUUACUGGAUAGUUAUAAUUUGGUGCUUAAUACAUUAAGUUUUUUUUUUCAUAUCAAUUUUUCAGUUUAUUUAGGGUCUUAUGAACUAUGUUUUUUUGGGUUUUGGUUGGUUUAGUCAUGUAAGAUAAAGAUGUAAAUUAAUUAAAAUCAAUUGGGUUAUUAGUGUUUUGGAUAAGGAAUUCGAAAUUAACUGUAAGUUUAAUUUUUUUUUGUUGGUAGUAUUGUUAAGGGGAUGUUCGGGAGAGUUGUAGGAAUUGAUUUUAAAAUUAUUUUUUAUUUAGAAAUGUAAUAAAAUGAUAUAUUUUUUAAAAUUUUUAAAUAUAUCAAACUAAUUUAAAAAUAUAAAAAAUUAUUGAUUUUAAAUAAAAAUAAGUAAAUUUUGCUCAAUUUCUAAAAGAUUUAUUUAUAUGAAUCCCCUGAUUGGCGCAUUCAACAUUUUGAUUUAUCAUAGAGAUGAAAGUUGGAGCUUUAAUUUUGUUUUUACUACUCUCAUUUAACCAUAAUGUUUAAAUUCACUACGCCAUUUGUUAAAUCUCUUAAUAUUAGGGGUGAGUAUUUUCAUACAGAUUGAUUUUGGUUUGGUUUGCUUCGUGGUGCUAAAAAACCAGCAAAUCUGAAAAAAUGACUUAUCAGAUAUCAUCAAGAACAGCAGAAACUAGUUCUCGGCAUCUGAAUCAAUGAACCUUUUGUAAACAUCAAGCAAAUGGAAGGUCUCGUAUCAAUGUUUGAAUGAAUUUUUAAAAAUAGCACUCACUAGAUAGAUACUUCACCGUGAUUUGUUGCAGAUUAAUUUUUUUUUUAUUUAAUAACAAAAAUUAUAUACACAUGUUUUUUUGAUAUAUUUUUGUAAUUAAAAAAAUUCUAAGUCAAAAUUCAAAAAGCUUAUACAGAACUCUCUGGUUCUUAUACAUAGGAUCUCCAAUUGCAGGUUCUGCUGUUGAAAAGCUGCAGGAAAUUAAUGGUUAUGUAAGCAUAGGCUACCCUUUUGGCUUAACUGCUUCAAUUCUGUUUGCGCGACACUCUGAAAUGGAAGGACCUAAUUAUGAUGCUCAGAUGGUGGAUUUAAUUCUGGGUUUCCUUGCAUCUUUGAAGGGAUCAACAGCCUAACCAACCAAAGCAUUUGCACCACUAACUUGUAGAAUCACCAGAAACAUAACAAAGUCAAAGUAAGGUAUUGAGACUUGAACAAUCAUAAAGAAAAUCGUAUGGAUAGAUGAUCCUGUGUAUCAAUCUGCAAUGCUUAAACAUGAAUGGAGAACAUCAUGUUUAGAUCCAAUCCCUUUUUGCCUUCACGUUGACAUUGGUUAACUUUCAUUUUGCUUACAUUUUGAUCUUCAGGAUUGGCGCAUUUAGGUUUGAUUCCAGAAGAAGAAUUUGGGAUAUAGCAUUGAUCAAGGAAAGCGAGGAAAUCGAAACAGUUAGUUAUCAUCACGAACAAGUUUUCACACUUUAGUAUGUCAUCCACGCUAUGUAUACUGUGGAAAACUUACACAGUUUUUUUUUUUUUUGCUUUUCUGGAAUGAGUGUAUGUAUCAACUUUCCGAGAUAUCUCCUGUCUAAUUGUUAGGGUUUAGGAAGUAAGUUUUUCCAGGCAUCAUUGUUUGGUUUAGUCAUGUGAAACGUUGGUGCUAUUAGUUAAAUGCGUCAGCAUGUAUUUGGACUACAGAAAUGAAAGUUCAGGUGAAUAAGUUCAAGCUAUCUCGUUUCACAUCAAAGCUUAAAGCAUCAUAAAUCUACUUGCUGGAGAUUGAAUGGCAAUGUUCUUUUUCAAAAGCAACAUUGCGAAGGAACAAAGAAGGGGAAUUAUCGCACUUGAGGUCUUGGCCCAGCGGUUGAAGGGACUUGUUCCCUUUCUCUGCAUCCUGGGUUCAAACUUCACCGUGCACGUCUAUCACCCCCGCGGUGUCUUACAUGCUCACUGGGUUUGCACGAUGUUCAGUGAGCUGUGGGAUUAGUCGUGGUGCGCGCAAGCUGGCCCGGACACCCACGUAAAUCAAAAAAAAAAGAAAAAAAGAAGGGGAAUUAUCAGUAUAGAUACCAGUAAUGUCAGAUAGGACUUUUGGUGAAAGUGGGGAAAUUUAGAUUUAAAUAAUGAUUUAUACAUUCUAGUUCUUGAAUUGCAAUGAAUUCAUUCAAGAUCUCCUGGAAGGAUUUGAGAGGAAACGGCGAAGCAGAGCUGCCAUGCUCUACCAUUAGAUUUGUACAUGUCAACAUCUUGCUGCAAAUUGUGCUGGAAAAAAAAAAUGGUAAAAACGCACUGUGUUGCUGGAUAGCAGUACAAAUGCAUUAUAAUGUUAAGAUGGCACUUGAGGAAAAUUAUUGGUAGCAAAUUGUGCAUACAGUGGGCAUGGGGUGAAAAACCUUCCAUAGCAUCAUCCUCUUGGUCCUAACAAUUGUUUUGUUCCUGAAAUAACUUGCGAUUCAGGUGUACCUGCUACAGAAACAUUUUCUACAGUAAUUCAAGGCCAUUCCGGAGCUGGCCUUCUGCUUGUUCUGAUCAAAUUUACAGAUUCAAAGUUCAUUGGGUGGUUUGCAGCUUUGUCCUUCAGUCCUGAUGGCAAGUUUACAGUGAAGAGCACUUGGUAGUUUGUGAGAAAGAAGGGACACAGAGUUGACUGGUAGAAGAAACUUCUGUGGGGUUCGCUAAACAUUCCUAGGCAUAGCUUCAUAGCUUUGUACCACGAAUAUUGUCUUAUUUUUUAUUUUGUUUUACACCUCAUUUCUUUUUAGAAAAUAAUUAAGGCUCUUGUUAUAAAUGGAUAAUAUCCCUUAGAUUCAUUAAAGUUCAAUCAUUAUUUAUUGAUGUUGGCUUGUUGAAAUCUACCUUGAUGCAAAUAUUUCAAACAAAAUCAUUAAAUAUAUUUUUGAGCUUCUUUCUUUUUUAUUUUAUAAUUAACCCAACUAGAAUUUCUAAUGGAUAAUUUAGUAUAGUUUAAAUUGUAUUAUAUUAACCUCGCAACGUGUACCAUAUACCAAAUAUCAAAUAUGUUUAAUAGCUUUGUUUAUUAUAAUUAAUGUUUUGUUUAAUAAAAUAAUAUAAAAAAUAUGAAUAGAAGAGCAAUCAAAUAAAAUUAAAAAAAAAUAAAAAUUAUAAGUACAACUACAUAUAAGAAAUGCCUUCUAAUAUAAAAAAAAUAUUAAAUUUUAUUUUUAAACUAAGUAAAAGUUAAAAUAUUCUAUUAAAAAAACAUCAUGAAAUAUUAAAAAAAACAACCAAUAAAAAUACAAAAUUAAAAAAAAAAAAAAAAAAAAACUAAGGUAGCCCAACACAUGAUGAACAUUGUUUUUUUUUUUUUUAGAUCAAACCGGAUCUAGGGUUAAGUAUAAACAUGUGAAUCGUUUAAUUGUAAGAACAAUUAAAAGUCAUGUUCUGAUACCAAAUUUGAUGCGGAACAAUAAAUAAUAGGAAUUAAAGCAAGAAAAAUAAAAACAAUAAGACAUGCUCAAAUGAGCUUAGUCUCUCAACCAAAGUGUGACAGGCUGGGGCAUCCUACUUCGCCUUCGUCUAUAUACUUGUGUAAUUUACAGUGUGGGUCUGGUGUCCCGGCCAUUUAUUUAAAUGCAUUUAUUUAAUAUUAGAUUAUGUUAAGGAAAUAAAAAUUAAAUAUUUGAAUGAAAAUAAUUGAUAUUAGUUAAGAUAAGUGUUAUUUUAUAUGCCAAUAUUUUUAUGCAUUACAUCAAAAUCUAUAACAAAAAUGUAAAAGCAGAAUUUAUGGAGAGCUUCCUGCUAAGCUAAAAAAAUGGUGGAAGGUCAGACAUCUUUGUCACUACGAAGGCUCAAAGAAACAACAAACUACCUUCACAGUUUUAAUAGAAUAUGAUUGAAGAUGAAAUAGCAUCUGAACAAUAUUGUUCAGAAAAAAAUAGCAUCUUUUAUUGUUCAGAAAAAAACAGAGAAACAAAAGAGUGAUCUGAUAUGCGAGAAUAGAAACAGAGAUAAUGAGUAUGAAGCUAACCAUUCACAGUGGAAUAGGGCUACGCCACAAGUUUAGCCAACAAUCCAAUUACCAUAAUGGCAUCCUGCAUUGCCAUCUUUCCCUGUGGACGAUAAAACUGCAGCUAGGAUCAGUACAUUCAAGGGCCAAGUCAUCGCAAGGCUCACCACAAGUAUCGCAUGCCUGCGGACGAUAAUCCUCUGUCUUGACGACCAAAGCAAGAGGGUGAGGGUGUUUAGGAUAUGUGCGAACCCCCCCUGGCUUGACGUAUGGGUAUUUCCCGAGAGCACAUUCUGGAUGAGCAUCGAAGUCGCAUUCCUCACAACGGUAGAACCAGAGCUUCGGGUCUCUAUCUUUUUCACAAAUUAUACAGGAAGGCUGGUAGUCAUUUUCAUUAAUGUAGGUGAGGAAGAGAGGAUGGUCAUCAUACUCGUGUCUUGCUUUGUAUGGCAGUGUAGCACAUUUCAUACCCAGCUUGAAAUCGCAAACCGCACAUUUAAAAAAUACCUUUGAUUUUUCAGGGACACAACAGCCACUGCAAUGGGGAAUAAUCUCUCCGUCAAAUGCAGCCCAAGGGGGAAGCCCGCGACCUCCAAUAUUGCAACGCAGAAUACUCUUUCUGUCCGCUGGAAGAUAAAGGGGAUGCUCAUGACCUCCAUGUUUAAAAGAAUCUUUCAAUAUUGAUUUGAAACAUCGGACAUCAAUCCGGAGUCCACACAUAUCACAUGUGUACAUGAGCCCACUAAAAUAUUGAGUACACACAUAGCAGUAGUCCAGAAAAUGUUCCCAUGGGCGACUCCAUGAAAGAAUCAGUUGGUUUUCGUGAUAUUGCCACUUUUUUCGCAUGGGUAAUUCUAUGCUGCAGGUUUUGUCAAGAAAGAAAUUACAACUGAUACAGCUAUAAAAUGAAGUUGAGAUUGGUAACAUGCACCCAUCACACUUUAGAUCAUCAUCAACCUUGUCAGUAAGGAUUAGGUUAUGUUGAUGACUGAAAUGCUCGAUCUCUUCAAUUAUUCUCUCCUCUCCAUGCUUGAUCUCACGGACAACGCGAAAGCUAGGUUCCAUGAGUUGAUCACCAACAGUCACACAUUGCCCUUCUUCGUUUUCUCCUCCAGUAUUUGUUGCAGAAUCGCCAUAUUCUCUACUACAAUUCACGUGUGCAACGAAGUCACAGUCUGGGCAAUAGUAAACUCCGUAAUUUGAGUCAACUUCCCGAAGGCAGAUUCCACAGUACUUGUUUAUAGAUUCGAUGCAUUGUUGAAGUUGAUAUGUGUGGAUGAUUUGGGGAUGAUGGUGCAGUGCUGUUUUAAGGGUGCCUGGCAAUGAAAUGCAUUCUUCGUGGACCACGAGAUGGCACAAGGUGCACAUGAAAGGGGAGCCAUCUCCAUCUGUGCCACAUGCAUUGCAGGUGAAGGAGAUUGAUUUGAAUGAAAGUGGAUUCAGUAGGUGUCUAAAUCGAUGCCUUUGAUCCUGAUCAGCUGCAUAAACGCACGGUGGAAAAGCACAUUUGAUAUGGAGGUUGAAUUCGCACACAAAACAGCAGUAAACAAAACUCUCAUAGCAAGUUUCGUUGCAAAAACCACACAUCGUAUCAUGAUUUGGCAGUAGACGAAGAGGGUGUUCUGGAUGAAUGUGCCUCUUGAUCUCUGGGGGUAGCUCAGCACACUUCUUGUGAAGAAAGACGUUGCAAGAAGUGCAACUAUAGCUAGGACCAGACAUUGGUUCCUUGCACACAGAGCACAUAACUCCUUCACCAUGAUAUUCUUGCUCUUCAUUCAAAAUCAAUGGAUGAUCCUUGUGGGCAACUUGAUGUGCCUGACUAUCAACUUCCAAAAAACCCGGUUGAAAAGCACAUUUGAUAUCUAGAUCAAACUUACAGAAAGAACAAUGGUAAACAAAACAGUUGAAAGUUUUGUCGCACCGAUUACAACGGUAUUUUCCUUCAUAUGGUGACUUUGCCAGUAGAUGGAGAGGGUGUCUACGAUGAAUGCGCCGCUUGAUCUCACGGGGCAGCUCGGCGCAUUUCUUAUGAAGAAAGAAGUAGCAAGAGGUGCAACUGUAGCAAGGACCCCAUAUAGGUCCCUCGCAUCCAGAGCAAAUAACUAGUUCACAACUAUAUUCGAGAACUUGAUUAAUGAGGAUCAAUGGAUGAUCUGGGUGGCUAAAAUGUUCAACCUCCAUGUCUCUGUCUCUCUCAGAAGACAGAGCAGGAAAUGAGGGUUGUUGAGCCAAGGCAAGACUUAGGAAGGCCAAAUUGAAGCUGCCGAAUAUAUAUGUUAUCGAAAUGGAAAGGCAAAUAAAAGUUGACUGCUACUAGAAUUCAAUACCUCAUCUUCUGAACUGAAACUCGACCUCUUCACCGACGACGGCUAAUUAAAUAAUUACAGCUGCUUACUGCUACAUUACAGAUCAACCAACGAGAUCCAGAACACAGUGAUUUCCCAUUAAGAUCGGAUAUCAAACAAUUGCUGGGGAAGCAUUUUCUUCCUUCUUCCCAUUUAUCAAAGAUAGCCGAAACGAAAAAUAAUUCAAAGGACUUAAAAUUCAAAGAGGCCCAAAAAGAAAGGAAGGGUGUUAGCUGUAAGGAAGAGGUGGGAAGAAGAUCAUGAGGAAAGCUACAAGCUCCUCUAUUCGUAAGGAUGAGAUUGUUCAAGCAUGUGAAUAAGAAGACACUUUCCCAUGUCUUUUCUGGUUGGAGAAG